This 45817-nucleotide long non-coding RNA is filed under the name Gossypium barbadense (sea-island cotton). RNAcentral describes it as "long non-coding RNA (GBAR_LNC020277)". The record is from RNAcentral. Lineage: Eukaryota; Viridiplantae; Streptophyta; Magnoliopsida; Malvales; Malvaceae.
GAGAAUAGCUCCAUUGAUUUCAAAGGUCAAGAUGUGCAGUUCAUCCCAUUUGGUUUUGGAAGGAGGAGCUGUCCUGGGAUUCCCUUUGCAGUUAGUGUUAUUGAGUACGUGAUGGCUAAUCUUUUGUAUUGGUUUGACUGGAAGUUACCUGUGGGCGAAAUUGCUGAGAACUUGGACAUGACUGAACUCUAUGGCCAAACAAUCAAUAGGAAAAACCCUCUUCAUGUUGUACCUAUGUCUCAUUUCACUUUUUAGAUAUUAUAUAUUGGCUAUGGUUUGAGUCUUUUAGCUCUUUCUUUUAUUUGGAGAAGACAAUGCUACUAUCUUUGGUUCUUGUUGUAGUAAUUCAACGAAUCCUUAUCGUGCAAGUAAUCAAUAUAAUAAUUCAAGUGCAUUUGACAAAUUUGUUCCAUGUGAAAAUGAAACAAAAUAUUUUUCAAUACAUAAUAUUUGUUUGGAUAAAGACAAGCUUCAUUUACGCAUCCACCAUCUCUUUUAUGGUAAUCAAAGCUUAUUGAGCUCUCAGUAGCGAAUCCUUUUCUUUUCUCUCAAACCUAAGCCUCUUCACAACCCCUCAGACAAAAAUGGCCACCAAAUCAACUGUUGUUAACCUUGAUAACACCAACACAAUUCCAUUGUGGUGAAGUUCAAUCCGGCAUCUUAGUUGCCUAUCAAACCAGUAGGCAGUCACAAUUUCACGACUUGGAAACCACAAAUCUCCGUGCUCAUGCAUGGACAUAACCUCUUUGGUCAUCUCCACGGCAUAUCUGUUGCUCUACCCACCACAAUUUCUUACGAAAAUAGGAACACUCCAAAUCCAUUAUAUCAAAACUGGUUUCGCCAAGACCAGUUGGUUCAAAACGCCAUUCUGGAGUCGGUCGGUCCUUCCUUACGUCUACUGUUAAUUCACAUUAUUUUACCUCCAAUAAUUCAUUUUUGGUCCAAUAAUUCAUUUUUGGUCCAAUAAUUCAUUUACAUUAUCGGCUUUGCUUCAUUUUUGGUGGGAUCUCUACUUUUUCAAUAAUCCUUCACUUUUUCAAUAUCCUACAUACAUCAUUCAUUUGCAAGUUUAAUUCACAUUAUUUUACCUCCAAUAAUUGCGGGGUUUACUUGAAAUUCUUUUGGUUUCAAUAGGUUUUUAUUUUUUAUUUUUUUAAUGCUUAAUUUUAAUAAAUAAUAAUGAGUUUUUGGAGAAAUAUUUAAGAAAACUUUUUUAGUUGCUACUAUUUAUAUAUUAUUAUGUAAUAUUUUUGGUUUUAUUAAGUAUUUGAUUUUAAAUACUUCAAUAUUCGUACAAUUACAAUUUUUACAAAAAAAUAAAAAUAAAAUUACUCAUAAUAAAUCUGGACAAUAUUAUGUCUAGGUUGAUUUAAAUUUGAUCAAUAAUUUAUCAAUUUAUAUUUUUUAGAAAUUUAUAUAUUUAGAUGGGUUUAGUGUAGGAUUUUUUAAUAAUAACAUAUGUUUUUUUUAUCUUAUUUUGUUAAAAUAUAUUUUUUAUUUUAAUAAAAAGGAAUUUUAAUUAAAUUUUUAUGAAUUAAAAAGUUAAAAGACGCAUGGCUUGACUUGAUUCAUCAAAAUUUUUUUUUAAAGUUUUGGACUAAAUAUUUUUAAGUAUCAAAAUUAGAAAACAAAUAUAUAAAUAUGAAUUAAGCUAAAAAAUAAAUAAAACAAAUAAUUUAAUUAUUGUUAGAUAUUGACCGAUGAAAAAUUAGAGCUUGAUUGAAACAAAACAUAUAUAUUUUUUAUAUUCCCUCAUUUUUUUGUACUUUUUCAUAUAUAUUUUUUAAUAUUCUCUCGAGUAUUAAAAAUUAGGAGAGAAUAUCAAAAAGUAUGAGAAAGUAUCAAAAAAAAUAUAAGAGAAUAUCAAAUAUUAAUUUAUCUUAUAAACUUUUCUUUAUUUUUUAUUUUUUAUUUUAAAUAUUAUUUGUAUAUAUAAAAAAAUUUUAUUAGUAUACAAAAAUAUUUAUAUUUAUAUUAAAAAAUAAAUUUUUAAAUCAAAACUUUAUUUUGAAGCAAUGACAUGCUAAAAAUUAUGAGAGAAUACUAAAAAUUAUAAGCAUAACCAAUAAUUAUGAAAGCAUACCCAAAAUUAGGAAGGAAUAACAAAAACUAUGAGAAGAAGGAAAAGAAAUGAAGUUGUUUGUGUUAGACUAUCAUUAAUACCACAAAUUUAAAAGGUUUAUAGCUUAAAAAAAAGGCAUUUAAGAAAGAAUAGCUUGCUCUAAAAAAAGUUAAUUAAGUUAAUUUAUUAACGAUUUCUAUUUUAAAUCAUGUUGACCGUUAAAAUUAAUUGAUGGAUCAAUUAGAUGCUGACACGUGAUAAUUUCUGAUUUAAUCAUAUAUUUUCUCAUGAAAAACAUUAAAAAUCAUAAAAAUUUAUAAUGAAAUCUAACAAAUUAUAAUUUUUUUAUAAAAUUAAUAAAAAUAUAUUUAAAAUGUUUAAAAUGUUAUAAAAACUAAUAAAAAUUCAUAAAAAUUAUUAAAAUCAUAAAAAAAUUAUAACAAUUAUUAAAAUUUAAAAAAGAAAAAAGAAAAUACUAGAAUUGAUAUAAACUUAUAAAAAUUAUAAAAAAAUCACAAAAAUUUAUAAAACUUAUAAAAACUACCUAACAGAAAGACUAGUUGGGGACCGACUGAGGCUUUGAGACAAUUCUGAGACGAGUCAAAUCAGUAUCAUUCCGAGGACGCAACGAGGGUGUUACGAGAAUAGGUAGGGGAGAAUGUCAUGGGCCACGGAUCAAAGCCCGUGAUGAAUGCACACAUUUAAACUAGUCUAAUUCGUGAAAUACAUGGAAAAACCUAUCUAUUUAAAGCAUUGUGACCUAGUGAAACUCUCUACUAUGACUAGAGUUAGUAGAAUAAUUAUUGUAAAUCUUAAGAUUUUAUAAAAUUUAAAUUCUUUAAAACUUUCAUGUAGAUAAACAUUAAUUUCAACUAUUAAUAUAAUUUUUGUACCCUCGAAUUCUUUCAUUAUGUGUUGCACUUAACCACUGUCACCCAACCUCCAAUAGUUUGAGAUGUGUUUGUAAAGGAAAAAUUCUGUCCUUGUCAAAGGAUCAUUUAGGCGUGCCCUAGGAAGGGGAUGGGUUUAAUAAUAUAUGUUUUUUACGUAAAAGUUAAAAAGAUGCGUGGGAUGACUUGAUUGAUCACCUUUUUUUGGUAACAUCAACUUAUAAUGAAAUGAUAUUUUAAGUAUUUAAUUGAGUAAAGAAAAGUUCAAAUAUUAAGUAGAAAAAUAAAUAUAUUUUAGAGGUCAAAUCGUGCAUUAAGGGAGAAAAAUAAAUAAAUAAAAAUAGAAAUUCGGUUCAAGUUUGAUAGAGUGUUAUUUAAACUUAGUUCUAUUUAUUUUUUUGUUGAAAAAUAAAACAGCAAUAUUACAUCAAAUUAGAAAAGAUCAAAAACGCUCUGUUCUACUUACCUCAAUUGAGCUGUUGUUGGUGAUAUUUUUUAUUUAUUUAAUUUUAAACAAUAAGUCCCAAAUGAAUAGAAUUUGAGAGCUUUUAAUUGUUAAACUUUUCUUUUUUAAUUUUACACCCACUCCCUAAUUUGACAUUAUUUGGGUUCGAUACAUCCAAAAUACCCAUUUUUGUAAAUCCAGCUUAGGAAUAGACUCAAAUUGGAAAGGUUGAUGGGUUUAGAGGAUCUAAUAGAGCUGAUGAAAAGAGACAGGAAAAAGAAGCUUUUGAAAUUUAUGAUGGAGAUGGAAGUGAGUCAUUAUGUCACGGGGCUAGAUCUUUCGUCUCGCGAUCCGUGCAGUCUUAGCCGACCCGUUCGUCCAAACUCGCCUAAGUCGAGCUUUACACAAGUGAGGAUUCCUUAAGAACUCCUCCAAUGCACCAAUUUGUAUAGCGGAAGCAAUUUAUGCCAAAAGAAGUUGAAACACCCCUUACCCGUGUUCCUUACCGAAACAAAGUAUGAGGUAUUACUAGAACUCAAACACUUAUAAAUUUUUUUAAUAAAAAUUUCGGCAGCAUUUCUACUUAUUUUUACAAAAAAUCCCCUGCAAAUUUCCAAAGACAAUUUCAAACAACUUCAAUAUCUCCAACCAAUUACAGUUAUAUAUUCAGACAUGAUUUAUCCAUUAAUAAACACCAACAUAUUAAACCGAACAAUACUAUAUAUAUACAUAUUUAUACCACAUUACAUAAAGUCAUCUAUACAUCCCAUGUUUCAAAAGUGUUGAUUGCCAAAAUACCCAAAAAGUUGAUGAUAGUGUGGAUGAUUUCCUGACUUCGUCCAAGUUCCGAGCUGGCUGAUGUCACUAUAAUCAGGAAAAAUAAAGACGAGUAAGCAUAUAGCUUAGUAAGUAAACAUAUGACAAAUAAAUAAAUUUCUCACAAGAUUACAUAGUGACAUAAUUUUAUCACACAUAAAUUUCAUUGUUUGUUCAAUUUCCAGCAAACUGCUUUUCUGCGUCACAGUCACUAAAUUAUUUUUAUCUGGAGCUAUAGGGCUCCAAAUUAAGUUCCGUAAAUUUCCUCCGAAACUAGACUCAUAUACCUUUCUAUCAUAAAAUUUCAAGAAUUUUUGGUUCAGGAAAUUAGUACAGUUUAUUCUUUAAACAUCCCUUGUAUCACUGCCUAACAGUUCUGACCUCUCUUUACUAAAAUUUACUUAUCUCCCUGUACAAAAUUCAAACAAUGUUCUAGUUUAUUUAUCUUAAAAAUAGACUCACUAAGGAAUUCAAGAAUGUAAAUUUCAAGCCAUAAUUAUUUUUAUACAAUUUUUGGUGAUUUUCCAAAGUUGGAACAGGGGAUUUCAAAAUCAAUCCAACCCUGUCUCAAUAAAAUUUAAAUAUCCCCAAAUAUACAACUCCUUUACUUGCUCUGUUUCUUUCAUAGGAAAAUAGACCCAUUCAGCUUCAAUUUCAUAUAUUAUUUAGCCUAUAAUUCAUUUUCCACCAUUUAUGGUGAUUUUUCAAAGUUUCCCAACUGUUGUUAUACAAAACAGUUUUAUAUUUAAAUUUGCUCUUUUGAAGUUUUGGUGUUUUCCUUCACAACUUACACAUGAGUUGAUUAAGUAUCAAACCCAAUAUUCCUCACACAACCUUGUCCACCAUAUAUAAAUAUUCACCUUUCCAAUUUUUCCGUUGAACACUCGGAAUGUUAUCCGUUAUCGGUGGAUUCAGCACUUAGCAACCACCAGUGAUUCGAGGAAUCAGCACUUAGCAACCCCUUGGGGGAAUCAGCACUUAGCGACCUCCUUUAUAUUCAAUGUACUCCAGCCUAUUCCGAGUGUUCAAUCGAAAACCGUAUUUUUCAACACUUUACCACAUUUCCCAACUUAACCACAUUUUUAGUAUCUAUACCAAGUAUUCAUUCUAUGUUCAAUUAAAUCUCAACAUAUAUUAGAUAAUACCAAAAUAAUGCAUUAAUUCACAUGUUUACUUACCUCGGUUCAAAAUAUCGAAAUUUUGUAAUUUACUCCACCAUCUUCUCUUUUCCUCGUUUGAGGUAGUCUUCUCGUCUUUCUUGAUCUAUAAUAGCAAAUUUAACUCAUUUAAUGUUCACAUUUAAUAAAAUAGUCCUCCACACAACUUUUUAAAAAAUUACAAUUUUGCCCCUAAACUUUUACAUAUUUACACUUUUGUCCCUAAGCUCGGAAAUUAAACUCCAUCUCUUAUUAUUAUGUUUUAUGACAUGCUGAACAUUUUUCCCUUCUAUGACAACAUCAAAUUCUCACUCUAACACACACUUUUAAACAUUAGGUAUUUUUACCGAUUAUGUCAAUUUACCCGUUUUCGUUUAAAAUCGCUUAGCAAAAGUUGUUUAACAUAACUUCUAGCUUCAUAUUAUACCAGAAAACAGCAAAAUAAACACUUUUCACCUAUGGGUAUUUUUCCAAAUAUAAACCCUAACAUGAAUUAACGGUAGAAUAAGCUACCGAAUUGGGCCAGUUCUUGUGGGCCAAAUGAUCCCCACCCACACAAUAGACCUCCAUCAAAUGCAUUUGGUGCAAUGGUCAUGGGCUUUGAACUACAGCCCGUGACAAUUAUACCCAAAGGAUAGAACAAAUUUGUCGCCAUGGAAAAAAUCUACUAUGCAAAGAUGCAAGGAAAGAGAAUCCGUGCAUUACGUGUUUGCACUCAACUACUAUUACACCCAUCCUCCCCAAUAGUUUGUGAUGUGUUUGUUAAGGAAAAAUUUUGUCGUCAUCUAAAGAUUCUUGAGAGUUCACCAGGAAAGACAUGGGUUAAGAGUAGGCUUCUUAAUAAUAAUAAUAAUAAUAAUAAUAAUAAUAAUAAUAAUAAUAAUAAUAAUAAUAAUAAUUGUAACACCUUAAAUUAAACCUAAACGUUAGAUCCGAAUUGGGAUAUUACAUUAGCCACCGUAAUGACCCAAUAAACUAACGGUAUUUAUAAAGCAAUAAUUUUAAAAUAUGUUUAUUUUAAAAGAAAACUUAGCCUAUUUUCAGAAACACUCACGAGUUAACAAAAAUCCGAUUAAGUUUAACAUUUUCCUUACAAUGGUGACUACUUUUAAAAACUUAGUUAAUUUCUAAUUUAAUUGUAAUCUAGCAAUAGAAAAGUGAUAAUCAACUUAGUUUCAAUUAAGAAAAAUAGGAUUUAUUUUAUGCAUAUUUAAUUCUAAUUUCAUGUUUCAACAUCAUAAAUUCAAAUUAAAUGUCAUACAUGCUAUAUAAAGCCCAAAACCUAAGUCCUAAGAUGAAAAUAAUGGAGGAGUGAGCUUAUGAAGCUCAGUGUGAGUUCAAUCACAAGGAAAUUAGUGCAAACAGUAGAUGACUUAUACAAGUAGCAAUUCUUAAAACAAUCACACUCAAAUAGUGAUUUAGAGUAUCAAUAUCAAAAUAUUUCAGAAUUCAUAGUUUAUGUAUGCACAUGCUUAUGAAUGGUGAUGCAAUUUCACUUUAUUAGAAUAAAUCCUACCAACUCUAUUGCACACCACAGUAGGAGUUCCCUAGAACUCUUGUCACAUCCCAAAAUGCAGUUUGGGAGUUUCGAGGUUAGUUUUGGAAAUUUUGGCCUAAAAUUUGGUUUAGGAAUUAAGAUUUUGGGAACCAAGAAAUAGCUUCGUUAAAUGGCUUUUGAAAAAUAAAAUUGAUUUAUGAAAAAAAAAGAAAAAGAGAAAGGAUUUCAAGUUUUAAGGAGGACUGUUUUGUAAAAGGGUUAAAGUUGAGGGUAGCUCAAAAGCAAUUAAACCAAAGUUUUAAAAUUAGCCCAUUUUCUUGUCAUCAAUUGAAAACCCCAAACCAUCAUUCAUCGAUUUUGAUCCUUAAUACUUUAAUUCUUUUGAUUUUUAUCAUCUUCCGAACACCAAAUCUUUUCCAAAUUCAAAAAGAAACAUCAAGAACACCAUUAUUUUCAUUACCACUCAUCUUGUGGAUUUUUCUUGGAUUUCAAUCAACCAUUCAUUUUUCUCCGAAAUCAAGGUAAUGUUUCGUUCUUCCAUUAGUUUUGAUGCAAACUAGUCUUUCAAACCAAGUUUUAAUUCAUUAGAACAAGUAAUUGGUGUGUUAGCCGAAAUUAGAGUUGCUAAUGGCAUAAUUUAGAUUUGUAGACAAAACUAUUGUUUCUAAGUGGUUUUCAACUUGUUUCGAUGAUAUUAGAAAGUUUUUCAACUUGUUUUAAACUUUCGUUGAAAGAUUUGAAGGUUAUGUUGAGUUUUCAUUGAAAAUAUCUAUGGAUUUUGAAAUUUUCUGGAACCAUAAAUUUAAAGAAUUCUUGGUGUUUUGAAGGUUGAGAAUCAUUCUUUUAUGAGUAAUUAGAUGUUUAGAAUCGACCAUGACUAGCAGGGAUGAGUAUGGAUUAAGAAAUUUGAGUUUCGGCCAAUCUAGUUAAAAUUUUCGAUUCCAAGAGGAGUUAUUUUUAAAUCUGUGUUUUUGUUUGAAUUAAGAUGUUUUUUGGUUGUUAAUUGCUUGUAUAUGUUGUGUGGUUAUAAAUGUGAAGAUUCAAAACUGUUGGAAUCCUCUUCGAGCAAGGCAAAAGGUAAAGAAAAGCUAGUUUGAGCUUGCGAUUAUCACACGAAAACGUGAAUGGUGAGUGUUUUGGAGUCGCUGCUAGUAAACACAAUUCAUUGUGUUAAACGGGAGGUCAGGAGUAGCCUAAACCCCUAUUUGAAGUUUCGAGUGUAAGCUUUCUUAUUCAUUUUGUUCAUCUUUGCGAAAUUAUGAUAUGUGAUGUGAAAUAUGCAAUAUAGUGGUUAUUGCUACAAGUACUCUAUGAUUGUGUUAAUAUGUAAAUAGAAUUACUGGUUUAAGCACAUAUGUGUGAUUGACUAUGGUUAUAGCGUAUUGAGCUAUAUGUUAGCACUUGUUAGUGCAAAAAUAAAGAGCAUGCUAUGUGGAAGUGAUAAUGUUGCGUGUAUGAUGAUUAAGAGUAGUGAUAUUAUGCAUUAAAAUAAUAAGUAAAAUUAUGUGUAAUUGUGGACAUUUUGGCCUUGUGAUCUCUUAAGACCGUUGGAUAUAGUUGGCAUGCCAUAGGAUUUGUGAGUACUCACCUUGUGUUUUGAUUUGGGCAUUGAGGCCCGGGACAGUUUGGAAAAAUAAGGGAAUGUGAGCCAAGUUCAAUUCAUCGGAUAUGUUGGAAAGUGUUAGCUUGAUGCUACACUUAUGGGAUAUGUUAGAUUCUUUGAGUCAUUCGUGUAAUAGAGAUCCGUGUAUCCAAUGUGUGGUGAUAGAGCCCACUCUUAUGUUUCAAAAUCUCAAUUUACCAAAUUAUCGUAAAUGAUUUUAUAUAAAUUAUGUUACAUGUAAAUGCAUGUUAAAAUGUAAGUUAACUUAUUUGGGUCAAUGAAACUUGAACUUGAUGAAUUACUUGAUAUAAAUGUGCUUUGAUUGAUUUUGUUUAACGUAUGAUGUUGUGUAUAUAUUAAUUUCAAUCAUUCACUGAGCUUGUUUAAGCCCACACACCUUACUAAAUCUUUGUAGAUAAGCAAUGUUUCUGGUAUGAGCAGUGUAGCCAAGGAAUUGAUCUAAAGAAGGUGAUAAAAUUUUGAGUAGGUGGUUUUAUAAUUAUUUUUGGACUUUUUGAAUAAAGGAAAUGUGGGUUAGAAUUUUUGGUUGGUUAUUAUUACUAUCGUUAUUGUUAUCACUCUUAAUUGUUUUAUUAUGGAUUUGGACCGAUAAGGUUUUAAUGUUAUGUUGGGCUAUGUUUUGGCCAAAUUUGAUGUUUAAUGUUAUAGUGGAUAUUGCAUGUUGAAAAGGGAAUAUGUUGAGCAUGAAAUAUACUCUGUUUUUGCAGACAAGUUGUCAAUAGGUUGUGGAUGCACAACAUAUUUGUUGUGGAGGCCUCAUUCAUAGAUGAAAGCAUUAUUUAGAGAGGUUAAAUGGACAUAAAAUUCCUUUACAACCUUUGUGAGAACAUCGUUAGGAUGAAGGAAAAAUAUUUGCCAACCAUGUUUUUCAACUACGGAAGAAAUCGCUUCAGUAUAUCCCAUAAAUGCGGCAUCUUGAAAAGGAAAACCUUUCUAUAACACCUCGAAUUUUUGGUCUAGAAGAAAUAGCUUUUGAACAAGGGAACAGUUAGGAGACUGCACAUAAAUAUUUAGUUGUGCAAGGAAGUGACAUAAAUGAAUGUCUGCUUCAGUGCUAAGUGAUUUAUGAGUGUUUGGAAGUGUCUAAGAAGUCAGGGGUUUAAGCCUUGGCUUAUGCAAAAUUUUUAUUCUAAGUGAAUAAAAUCCUUGGAUCUAGAUAGUAGGUUCUUAAAUUAUUGUGGUUAAAAUAUGAUACAAAGGAGUUGUUGGUCUAGUAGUAAGUGGCGUGUAGAGUGUAUAUGGGGUCUAAGGUUUGAGUGGUGGAGCAUAAAAAAAAGGAGUAUUUAUUUUGCUGCCUAAUACGUGUGGGUGGUAGAGUUGGAUUGAAAUACUGCUAAAUGGAGUUUGAAUUGGUCAUAGAGAGAUUUGAGGAGAGAAUAUUGGGAUUUGGGAAGGUUGUUGUUGUGGAGAGAUAUAUAUCCAUCUCAUUUGUUCGUUGUUCUCGAUGGGAGAUCGACGAGGUUUUCAAGGUUUUCGUUGUUUUCUCCAACCUGCAUUGCUUUCAUUCCUAACUGGUGGUGGUCGAGGUUGAUUGGCACAUUACUUGGAAACAAGGGUGCGAUGAUCAUUGAUUUUUGGAAUAAGAGUGUUCGGAACGAAAGGAAUCUACAAAUCGCAUUAGGUGUGUAACCACCCCACUGUAACUAUAGAACGGCAAAAUCCGAAAAGCCAAAAUACGACGUUGAGACCACAAAGUGUGCAAUCGCUAGUGUGGAAAGCAAAACUUGCGAAUCAUCGGCGAUAAAUUGUAGAGGCCUCCAUGAGCAUUUCCAUGGGCUUAGGUCGUAAUGGGCCAUGUUGUGCCAUGUGGGCUCAAUGGGCUCAUGGUCCCCACAUGGAUGAAAUCCAUGAUUUGUGGCAUAUUCUGGACUGGGUUGUGUAGAUCUCAUAACCGUGGUGAAAUCUAGGCUGAACGGGCUGCACGAGCGUGUAGGCCCACUUGGGCCGAGUAAUGGGCCUUGGGCCCAUUUACACCGUUAUAACCAUUUAGAUUACCUGAGUCGCUCGAGGUGACUAUAGACCUUUCGGGAGGUCGAUAAAUGAUCGAAAUACCUCCAUAGGGUAAAAUGAUCGAAAUACCCCUAUAAGGUAAAAUGACCGAAAUACGCCCAUAGGGUAGAAUGACCGAAAUACCCUUAUAGGGUAAAAUGACCAAAAUAGCCCUAUAGGGUAAAAUAACCAAAAUACCCCAUUAGGAUAAAAUGACUGAAAUACCCUCAUAGGUUAGAAUGACCAAAAUACCUCCAUUGGGUAAAAUAACUGAAAUACCCCCUUAGGGUAAAAUGACCGAAAUACCCCCAUAAGGUAAAAUGAUUUUUAUACCCCUAAGAGAUGAAAUGAUUGUUAUGGAUUGAUGAUAUGUAUGACUAUGAUUGAGCAUGACAUUUUGCAUACACGUAUGAUAUUAUGUCACAACAUAUUGCUUGGGGUUGGGUUGUUAUAUUUGGAGGAAGUGUACUGUACUGAUAAGGUCGCGGGUCGCCUAAGACGACUGUGGACCUACUAGUGGCUUUGCCACAUACACUGUUACUAAUAACUUUGCUACGAUACUAUUACUGGCAGCUUUGCUAUGAUAUUGGUGUGUUGGCUGGAUGGGUCGAUUUUAUCCCCACAUGGUGUGUUGGUGGUAUGGAGUGGUGUGUUGGCUGGAUUGAGAUGGGUUGCAUUAUUCCACUGCAUUGUUACAGUAUUGGGCUAAGGCCUACACUAAUUCUGUAUUGGGCUAAGGCCCACACUGAUUCUGUAUUGGGCUAAGGCCCACACUAUUACUGUAUUGGGCUAAGCCUACACUGCUACUGUAAUGGGCCAAGGCCCACACUAUAUUGAUACUGUAUAGGGCUCAGGCCCAAAUUGAUUUUGCAUUUUGCAUAGUGAUUGUUUAGAAGGAGAUUACAUACUGAGUUUCGUAAACUCACCCUCUCCUUUAACUUUGCAGGUAAUCCUCAGCCAUAGGCAAUUCGGAGCUGCAAAGGACUUGGAGAAGGCGAAAUAAUCACUGCUUUUCAUAUAUGCAUUUAUUCUGAUUUAAAUAAUAAGUUGGGUUUUGGUUUUGUAAUAAAGUCUUUAAUUUGGUUUUAAAUUUUAAUUGGGUUUUUCACUUACUUAUUUUAUAUUGCUAGUUUGUUGGAAACGAAUUUUCAAAACAAUUACUAUUUCCAAAGACACGGGCUUUAAACAUUAGAGUUUUCAAAAUGCUUUCGGGUUUUAAAUCAACUUAAUAUAACAAAAAGUAGUUAACAUGGCAAACAUAUGAUUAAGUGUUCCAUUAGAUAUUAAUAAGAGGUUUCCAAAAUUAAGAAACAAUUUUGUCAACAAGCCAAAUUUUUUAGAAACACUUCAAUGUGACACGCCAGAUUCGACCAUAACGUCUAGGCCGGGUGUGGGGUGUUACACUUUCUCCAUACAGAAGGGUUGCUUGGAUGCGUUCAUGGUAUACUUUUCUUCAACAGCUUUGUUGAAAAGCAUUCUAAAAGGUACAAAGGUUGAUGAAGAUGGCAUAUGUCGAGCCAUUUAGAACAAGAAAUGGUAACUAUAAGAAGAAAAAGGUGAGAUCUUUACAAUUAUGUAGUAAAUAAUGAAAAUGGUGAAGAAGAAGAAACUGAAAGUAACUUGGGAAAGUAAAUGAAACGACUAGGGUAAAAGUGAGAGAAAAUAGGGCAAUGACAUAUGGGAUAAGAUUAGCCUGAAAUUAUGGUUUGACACAGUAAAGUAAAAAUUAGGCGAGAAAGAAAAAUAAUAUAAAACUUAUUAUAAGAUAGCAAACUAAAAAUUUACAAAUGUGUCAAAUGGGCUAACUACUACAAAGCCUGGGUCGUAAUCUACCUGCAAAGAAAGAAAUAAAAAUUAAUUAAACCAAUGAAAUAAAAUAAACAAAUCAAAAGAAAAUUAAGUAAGUAAAACCAUGUAGAAGAGAACACUAAGUAGCUCGAAAAGCAAUGAAAUGUUUAUCGUGAAUUAUGGGACCCCCCAAUAAUGCUUCAAAUGUUGGCCAUUGACUUUGAAAUUAAAUCUAGUCUUGCCAUCUUUGACUUCUACAUUUCCAUGAGGGUAAACAUGCACUAUCUCAAAUGGGCCAAACCAAUGAGACUUUAAUUUGCUGGGACACAAUUUAAGCCUGGAAUUGAACAACAACACUUGUUGUCCAAAAAAAAUUGUUGUGGAAAAAUCUUCUUGUCAUGCAUCGCUUGGUCUUUUCUUUAUACAAUUUGGCAUUUUCGUAAGCCUGAGCUCUGAAUUUUCCCAUCUCAUUCAACUCCAAUAAUCAGUUAUUUCCAACAUUAAUUCAAUCCAUGUUCAAUUUCUUAAUUGCCCAAAAGCCUUGUGUUCAGGUUCAACAGGUAAAUGACACGACUUCCCAUAGACAAGCUUGAAAGGUGACAUUCCUAAUGGUGUCUUGAAUGUUGUACGAUAUGCCCAGAAAGCUUCAUCCAAUCUAGAUGACAAAUCUUUGCGAGUGGGAUUGACUACUUUCUCCAAAAUUUGCUUAAUCUCUCUAUUAGAGACCUCAGCUUGUCCAUUUGUUUAGGGAUUGUAUGUCGUGAUAAUUUUAUGUUUAACCACAUAUCUAUUCAAGGCAGUAGCAACUAAUAUGCAGUCGAAAUAGGAACCUUCAUCACUAAUCAGAGCACGAGGUGUACUAAACUUGGUGAAGAUAUUUUUAUGCAAGAACUUUAGUUUUGGUUUGACAUCAUUCGUAGAGAGAGUGACGGCCUCGGUCCACUUGGAGACAUAAUCUACAGCCACAAGUAUGUAUAUAUUGCCACAAGAAGGUGGAAAUGGACCCAUAAAAUCGAUUCCCCACAUGUCAAACAAUUAAACUUCUAAGAUAUUUUGCAAUGACAUUUCAUAUCUCUUAGAUAGAUUCCAGUUCAUUGACAACGAUCGCAAGCUUGAUAAAAUUCAUGAGCAUCUUUAAACAUGCUUGCCCAAUAAAAGCACUGCUUCUGGCACUGCUCAAGUUUGUUUGCAACUAUACACUACACCAAAACAGGCUUUUAGCGGCAUCUUUUGUGGCGUUUGAUAGACAAACGCUGCUAAAAAUCGACCAUUAGCGGCGCUAAUCCUAAAACGCCGCAAAAACCUGAACAUCUAGUGGCGUUUUUUAAAAAACGCCGUAAAAGAACAUCAUUAGUGGCGUUUAUAUGUAAGCGCCGCAAAAUACCUUAACCAAAACGCGGCGUUUGGUUUUUAGGUAUAUUAGUAUUAGUGGCGUUUACGAGAAAACGUCGCUAAAGAACAGUAUUAGCGGCGUAUUACAAAAAGCGCCGCAAAUAUCUUAACCAAAACGCACCGUUUGGUCUUGAGGUAGAUUAGAGUUAGUGGCGCUUAUUAAAAAACGCCGCAAAAUAUUGGGACAUAGCGGCAUUUUGAGAGAAACGCCGGUAGAGGUAAGUAAUCUGAGGAAAAAAUUUCAGCAAAACUGUACCGUUUUAUUUUUUCCUAUUAUUGCUUUAGUGGCGCUCAGUAAAAAACGCCACAAAAGAUAUGGAUUUCGCGGCUGUUGUUAAGUAUAAGUAACUAAUUUGCGGCGUUUCCUUUAUAAACGUCGGAACAAAAAUAAGCAAAACGGCUUCAUUUUGUUUCAUUAUAUUGCUUUAGUGGCGCUUUGAAGAAAACGCCGCAAAUAUUUCGGCAAGAUGCUUUUCUUGUUUGGUGGAAUGUUCGUUAAAACGACGCCACUUUUGAUUUUCUGUAUUGGUAUUAGUGGCGUUUUUGGCAAAACGCCGCAACAGUAGCCAAUUAAAAUUUUAAGUUUUACGGUUUAAUAUUUAAGUUUUAUCGUAUACGGUUUAGCGUUAAUGAUUUAAGGGUUACGAUGCAAAGUUUUAGCAUUUCGGGUUUAUGGUUUAUACGAGUUUAAUAUAUAUAUGCGCUAUCACUACUAUUCUCGUAUUUGAUCAUAGUUUAAAAGAAGCAGGCGCAUGAAAUUCAAUUUCACUAAAUUUCAACUGCAGGAGACAAUAUUUCAGCAUUAAAAUUAAUAAUUAAGGUGAUUGUUGCUAAAAUCAAUGGAUACAAUGUCGUUUAUCAUUCUUUCCGUUGAAACGCCCUUUCAAACCUGAGUAAAUGCAAUUUGCCUUUUUAUUCGACUAUAAAGUUAUAAUUUAUAUUUUUGAGUUUUAAAAUUUGGUUUAAUAUUUGAAAAUUUCAGGAUCGAUUGGAUAUUGAAUUCGGAUUUAUAAUAUUCAAAGUUAAAACAACGCAUAAUUAGUAAUGUAUUGAUUUCCAGACAUCUCAAGGGUACUAAAAUUUUUCUAUGUAUAACUUAGAGCAUAAAAUUAAAAUUGUAAGACAUUAUUGGAAUAGUGUCAAUAAUUUAUAAAUUGGAAUGCCGAUAGUAGUUAAAUAAUACAUAUAUACUUACAUAUAUAAAAUGUAAUUUUUUAAAAAGAUUUUUACAAAAAAAAAUGUUAGAUCUGUGUCAUAAUUUUAAACUAUUUUAAUUGAAAUGUAAUUAAUAAUUUCAUAUUAAUGCAUCAAUUUAAAAAAAAUGUCAUAACAUUUAUCCAAUUUGAAAAUCCACUAAAAAAAGAAAUAGUUAUAAAUAUAGACAUAUAAAAUAUUAUUAAAAUUGAAUAACUAGUGGCGUUUUAACUCAAAACGCCGCAAUAGGUAGGCUUUAGCGGCGUUUCUUUUAAAAACGCCGCAAAUAAAUUUGCAAAACGGCUUCGUUCUGCUUUCACUAUAUUCCUUUACUGGCGUUUUCUGAUAAAACGCCGCAAAUAUGUCUGCAAUACGACGACAAAACGACGCCGCUUUUGAUUGGAUCUAGUGGUAUUAGCGGCGUUUUUUAAAAAAGCGCCGCAAAAAAGAAAUAAUAUUUGCGAUUUCCGUAUUAAUAUUUAUAGAUAAUUUUAUGUGGUUUGGGGUUUUAGGGUUCGUUACACAAUGUUUAUUAUUUUAGGAUUACAGUUUUGACGAUAUGGGUUUAGAGUUUAGGUUUACAGCUCGGGGAUUUGUGUUCAAGGUUUAGAGUUUACAUUUCAGUGUUAAUAUCAGGUUAGGCAAUUUCUGGCUUAUAAGAUAAUGAAAUUUAAUGUUUUAGGGCUUCAUGUUUAUGGUUUAUGAUUUAGCGUUAAUUAUUUAUGGGUUAUGAUGUUGAUUAUUGCGUUUUAGAUUUAGGGUUUGUACGAUUUACAGUUUAGGGUUUAAUGUUGUGGCGGUUUUAGGGUUUUUUACUAUUUUGAUACAAAAGUCAAAAAAAAUUCGAAUACCAUGUUUUUUACUUCUUAUUAUGUCAUUAUUAGGUUCAGAACCGACAGGGUUUAGGGAAACAUAUAUAUAUGCAUGGCACGAUAUCAUGUAUGAUGAAACAGUUUAAUAUUGUGUACGAGGUAGCGUACGUUAUCAAGAUUUCCAUAACUGAGAGCAUAAAAUUAAAAAUGUAAGACAUUAUAUUUAUAAAUUGGAAUGUUGAUAGUAUUUAAAUCAUGCAUAUAUACUUACAUAUAUAAAAUGGAAAUUUUUUUUAAAUUUGUACAAAAAAAAGAAUAUGUUAAAUCUGAGUCAUAAUUUUAAACUAUUUUAAUUGAAAUGAAAUUAAUAAUUUCAUAUUAAUGCAUCAAUUUUAAAAAAUGUCAUAACAUUUAUCCAAUUUGAAAAUCCAUUAAAAAAAGAAAUAGUUAUAAAUAUAGACAUAUAAAUUAUUAUUAAAAUUGAGUAAUUAGUGGCAUUUUCACUCAAAACGACGCAAUAGGUAGGCUUUAGCGGUGUUUAUUUUAGAAACGCCGCAAAUAAAUUUGCAAAACGGCUUCGUUCUGCUUUAACUAUUUCCUUUACUGGCGUUUUCUAAUAAAACGCCGCAAACUUAUUUAUCAAUUUCAAUAUUGAUAGUAUUUAAAUUGAGAGUAUUUAUAAAUUUGAAUAUUUAUUAAAUAUGUAUAAUUGAAAAACAUGUAUUAAAUCUGUGCCAUAUUUUAAAAUAAUAGUAUUGAAAAAAAAUUAAUAAUUUCAUAUUAAUGUUUCAAUUUAAAAGAAUGUCCAAACAUUUAACCAAUUUAAAAAUCAAUUAAAAUUCAAAAUGCUUAAAAAUAAGGUGAAUAUCUAGUGGCGUUUUUAACUAAAAUGCCGCAAACGAUAAUUAAUUAUUGAAGGACACGUGGCCUUUUCACUGACGCGUUUAGGGUUCAGUGGUAUUUUUGCUCAACGCGCCGCAAACCCGUAAGAUUAGUGGCAUUUUUUUUAAGCGCCACAAAAAAAUUUAAUUAAAACAGUGUCGUUUUGAGGGGAUAUCAGAUUUGGGGUAUACCCUCGCAGCCAGCCCCAAAUCCCUUUUCAGCCAAAUCCCUAAGUCUUUCUGCAAUUUCCCCUCAUCCUUUCUGAUUUCCCCUCGUCCUUUCUUCAUCUCUUUCACACUUCUGUUAUUAAGUUUCGAUUCCUAGCAAAAAAAAACCAUUAAAAAGGGUCAUUACAUCGUAUUUGUUGAAAUCAUUUAACAUUAUUUGCGGCAAAGAGGAGAGAGAACGUGGAGGAACAUCAUUUAAGGUUCGAAUGUCUGAUUGUGGUCUUUAUACAUUGGGUUUUGUCUUAUUUUUUACUUUUAUUUUGCUUGUUUAUUGUUUGAGGAUACUGGAAUUUAAAAAAUUGUAUUUUUCGUGUUUAGGGCUUUCGGUCUUCGACUGUUUCGUUCAUCUUCCUAGAGGUACAUUACUGCUCCGAUUGUUUAGAUCUGGUGUGAACGGUUUCAUUGGUUUCAUCGGUCUUCAACGUUUUCACUUUUCUUCAUCUUGCUGAAGGUACAGAACUCAUGCUUUUUUUUAUUUGAGAUGCUUUCAUUAUCAGUGUAACGGGUUAAAUGGGUUGGACUAAAGGUCAAUAUUCCAUUUCUUCUCCGUUGGUUUCGGUGAAAUAAUUUGGUGCUAUUUUUUUAGUAUGAAAUUUUGAUGUCUACUUUAGGGUUUACUUUAAUAAUUUAUAAAAUUGUUCUGUUAAAUGUGAUGCAGCCGAUUACAUUCCCAGGUAAUGAAUUGGAUAUAUAUUGUUAAAUUUUUUUAGGCCAUGUUGUUAUUUAGUAUGAUGAAACAGUAGUGUUCCAUGUACAGCAGUUUCUGUUUGUUUGUUAUACUUGUGUUUCAUCCAUUUGCUUAAUGUACUGUUGGAAUAUAUAUAUAAAGUACAUUGGAUUGGGAACUGUCAUUUACCUUCUUAUACAUAUAUAUACAUAUAUAUAUAAGUGACAAAAUGAGAUAAUAUCAAAGUGAUACAUUAGUAAAGAUAAUAUCAUCGAACCCAUUUCUCUCUAAGUAUAGUUUAAUUUGCCGAAUAAAAAUAUAUAUUCUGUUCUAGAAUCAGUGUUAUGAUUUACUACCUAUUCUUGUUUUAAAUUGUAAUCCAUCCAUUCUAUGUUUCUAUGGUAUUGUAUCCCAUUGUGUUGAUUUAACAUGUUCAAUUUCAAAAUUAGGCCAGCAUGGAACGCAUAAUUUUGAAUUAUUGUUUUGAGUGAUUAUGACCGUUUUUUUAUCUUAAUUUUCAUAUGGAUUAAAUCCAACCUCUAAUAUGAUUUUAAUAUUUUACUUAAUUAUCUAUUUUCAUAUGUUUUUCUCAGUUACUUACUAUGACUAUUUAUUAAUUUAAUAAUGUAUGUUAGAAUAUAAUGUUGGGUUACAGUUUCAUUUUGUGGUUUGUAAACUAGUAAUUCCGUUUUUAAACUUUCGAUUUAUGGUUUGUAAGCUGAUUCAUAAUCAGUCCGUUUACAGUUUGCUUAAAUCGCAAGAUGUACCUCAUGUGUUAGGUUUUAUUUUCCAUGUUAAUAUUUUCCAGCAACAACUUAGAAAGGAAUAUGUAAUAUGUUCGUGCAAAAAACGCAAUCAUUUGUGCAAGUAACGCAAAAAAUUUUGGACGGAAAUAUAUAUAUAUAUAUAUCAUAAAUACGAUAAUUUAUAUUCUUUUUUAAUAUUACAUAUAUUAAUAUGGACAUGUAACCUGUAUUUAAAUUUUGACAUAAUAAUAACAUUUUAAAUUUUAAAAAAGCUUGUAAAUGAUAAUUUAAUAUCUAUUAAAACCAAUAAUUAUAAGUAUUGUUUUAUUUUCUAUAUAAGUUUUCUAAAUUUAUAAGUUUUGUAAAUAAUUAUUCCAAAUUUAUUAGUAUAAAAAUUUAGUAGUAUUAAAUUUAUAAGUUUUCUAAAAAAGUGUUCUAGAUUUAUUAUUAAUAAAAUUUAUAAGUAUCAAUUUUACACGUUUGUAAAUAAUUAUAUUUUUUAAAAAAUUUAAAUCUUUAUUUAUAUAAGAUAUAUAUGGUGUUUUAAUAUACAUAACCAAAAUAACUCCAAUUUACAUCAUACGAUAACUUAUAAUAAUUUUACAGCAUCCAUAACUCUUUGACAAUCAUUUGCUUACGUAAUACAUAAUAACACAAUACAUAAUUGGUAUAUAAGCUUGCAUAACUUACAUAAUAACUUCACAACGUAUAUAUAAUAACAAUAAUAAAUUACAUAAUACAUAAUAACAUAAUACAAUAACUUAUAUAUAAAGCUUGUAUAACUUACUAAUAACUUUCAUAACUUAUUAUAAUCUGAUAUACAUUACAUAAUACAUAACUUAUAUUAAUAUCUUGCAUAACUUACAUAAUAACUUCAUAACUUAUACACCACUAAUAAUACUAACAUGGGUUAAUACACGUACAUACCUACAUAAUAGAUAACAUAUACUAGAACUGACAUACAUUAAAUAACUUACAUAACUUACAUAAAUUAAAUAACUUACAUAACCUACAUAAAUUAAAUAACUUACAUAAAUUAAAUAACUUACAUAACUUACAUAAAUUCCGUGGACUUACAUAACCUACACAAAUUAAAUAACUUACAUAACUUACAUAACUUACAUAACUUACAUAAAUAGUUAUAAAUUAGAUAACUUACAUAACUUACAUACAUUAAAUUACUUAUAUAACUUACAUUAUACAUAACUUACAUAAAUUAAAUAACUUACAUAACUUACAUAAAUUCCGUGGGCUUACAUAACCUACACAAAUUAAAUAACUUACAUAACUUACAUAACUUACAUAAAUAGUUAUAAAUUAAAUAACUUACAUAACUUACAUACAUUAAAUUACUUACAUAACUUACAUAAAUAGUAACCUUCUUAACUUACAUUAUACACGACUCACAUAAUUAAUAUUAUACACAACUUACAUAAUAACUUUCUUACAUAACUUACAUUACUUACAGUACUUACAUAAUACAUAACUUACAUAAUACAUAAAAAUAUAUCAUAUCACAAAUUUCCGUAAUUCAUUUAUGGUUAUAACUGGCGUUUUAACUUACCCGUGCAAAUUAUUGUGAACGUCAGACUUCAAGAAUUAAGAAAUGGACCGGUCUUGGAUGAAUUUGUCAAGGGUUAGCAACGAUUAUCGAAAUGGAGUACAGUAUUUUCUAAAUUUUGCAUUUCAAUAUGCAAGCCAAGAGAACAUGAUUCUUUGCCCCUGUAAGAAGUGUGUCAACAUAAACUGACAUUAUCGUGAGGUUGUAUACGAGCAUUUAAUUGUUGAUGGGUUUGUUUGGGGUUAUAAACAAUGGUUAUUUCAUGGAGAAUGCCCGCCUAGUACUUCCUCUUCAACGAUGGAUGUAUCUUAUUCUGGUACUGCUUACUAUCAGUCUGAUAGAGGGGAUGACAUGGAAGGUAUAUUGCGGGAUGCAUUUAAUAUGCACAAUCAUGGUGUCCAGUCGUUCCCAACGGACUUUGUACCUUCUGAUGAUUGUAAUAUUGGGAGAAAUGCUUUUACUGAACCGGGAAGUAGUGUACCUCAUGAAGAGUCGAAUGAAUAAGCGGCGAAGUUCUACGCGCUACUUAGUGACAUGAACGAAGAACUGUAUGAAGGAUCAAAAUUUUCAAAAAUGUCUUUCUGUGUUCGUCUUUUUCAGUUAAAAUGUUUGGGAGGGUGGACCGGGAACUCGUUGACAAUGCUGUUAGAGUUUUUAAGAGAAAUGUUUCCGUUUGCAAAAAUCCCUCAGUCAUGCAAAGAUAUGAAGAAAAUGAUAAAAGAUUUAGGCCUUGGGUACAACAAAAUCCAUAGUUGCCCAAAUGACUGUAUGUUGUAUUGGGGCGAUCGAAAAAACCAACAGUGCUGUCAUGUAUGCGGCCAAUCACGUUGGAUAAAUAGAAACACAGAAGAUGGGAACGACGAUGAAAAUGAUGCACAACCAAGAAAGAAGCCGAUCAAGAUUUUGUGGUAUUUUCCGCUGAUACCAAGGCUUCCAAGGCUUUUCAUGUCGUCGAAGACAGCGGAGUCAAUGAUGUGGCACCAUGAUGGACGAACCGGUGAUGGAUUAUUAAGGCAUCCGACAGAUUCUUUAGCUUGGAAAGCAUUUGACAAUAAAUUUCCAAGCUUUGCAAGCGAUCCUAGGAGUGUAAGGCUUGGCCUAGCAUCUGAUGGAUUUAAUCCUUACAAGAUCAUGACUACUGCGUACAGUACUUGGCGAGUAGUGCUUGUUCCUUACAAUCUACCUCCGUGGAUUUGCAUGAAGCAAUCUUCCCUUAUCUUAUCUAUGAUUAUCCCUAGAGAGAAAGGGCUCGAAAAUGAUAUCGACAUUUAUUUACAACCACUUAUUGAAGAGUUAAAAUAAUUAUGGGCUGGUGUCGAGACGUACGAUGUGCUGAGAAAGGAGAACUUUAAUUUACGUGCAACUUUGAUAUGGAUCAUUAAUGACUUCCCCGCUUAUGCCAAUUUAUUCGGUUGGAGUAUCAAGGGUCAUUAUACGUGUCCUUGUUGUGCUGUACAAACAUGUCCGCAAUGGUUAUACAAUGGGAAGAAGUUUUCUUACAUGGGGCAUCGUCGGUGGUUACCGAAAAAUCAUAGAUUUAGAUAUCAGAGUUCUGUAUUUGACGACACUGAAGAGUUCAGAGAAGCUCCUUCCCAGACCAGUGGCUCUGAAAUCUUGUUGAUGUUGGAAGAUAUGAAUUUCAUUUAUGGGAAGAUGAACCAACCGCCAAACACGCAAAGAAACAACAGAUCAAAUGAUGAAGCUGAUGAAGGCUCCGACGAAGAGGACGAUCCUAAUGAGCCGGACUUGUGGAAAAAAAGAAGUAUUUUUUUAGUUGCCUUAUUGGGAGCAUCAUCUUUUACGACACAAUCUUGAUUUUAUACACAUUGAGAAAAAUGUCUGCGAGAAAAUUGUGGGUACAAUUUUAAAUGUCGACGGAAAAUCAAAAGACAAUCUUCAGAGUCGACUUGAUUUAGUCCAAAUGGGAAUUCGACCUGAUCUUCAUCCCAAUCCACUUCCGAAUGGGAAAUAUCGGUUGCCGCUUUCUAUUUUCUCAAUGUCCAAGACGGAGAAAGAACUGUUUUGUAUGGUGCUGAAGGAUAUGAAAGUUCCAGAUGCGUAUGCAUCAAAUAUAUCUCGAUGUGUUAGUGCUAAAGAUCGAAGGUUAUAUUUGCUAAAAUCACAUGACUAUCACAUCUUGAUGCAAGAUUUACUGCCAGUUGCUCUACGAUGUUGUAUGCCGAAGAAGGUGACGUCUUGUAUCAUUGAACUAUCCAACAUAAUGAAAGCCAUUUGUGGCAAAAUUUUGGAUGUUCAAGAACUUUAGAAGGUACAGGAUCGAGCCGCUUUGACUUUAUGCAGCAUGGAAAAAAUCUUCCCACCUUCCUUCUUCACCAUUAUGGUUCACUUGAUAAUCCAUCUCCCGCACGAAGCAAUUCUUGGCAGACCUAUUUUCUAUCGAUGGAUGUAUCCCAUAGAAAGGUGUUAAUUAAAAUUUUUAAAAUUUUUCUUCAUUCACCUCUAUGCCUUUAGUUACAACUUUUGAUAAUAUUGUAUAUUGUGUUUAGGUUCCUAUACAAAUUAAAGUCUUACUGCCGCAACAAGCGAUAUCCAGAAGGAUCGAUUGCUGAAGGCUACUUGGCAGAGGAAUGUAUGACCUUCUGCUCAAGAUAUUUGGAAGAUGUCAAAACAAGGUUGAACAGACCAAAUAGGAAUGCUGAACUCACAGACUAUAACUUAGCCGAUACUUAUUUGUUCCAAAGUUUUGGAGAACCAAUCGACAAAGUUGAAAUUGCAGAAUUAGAUCAUUUAUCGUGGGUACAAGCACAUCGAUAUGUUCUGUUUCACCACGAAUCAUUGGAACCUUUACGGAAGUAAGUUCUACAAAUUUUAUAAAUAUUUAUCGAACUAAAAAUUGUUUAUCUUCUAACAAAGUGAACAUUUUUUUUAACAUAGUGAGUACAAACAAAUAUUGAGAUCUCGUUCGCGCUCCCGAAGAACACAACAUCGAGAUAUCAAUAAGUUGUUUAUAGAAUCUUUUUAUGAAUGGUUAAGCCAAACAGCAUGCAGUUGGAGCUUCCGUUUACAAAUAAUAAUGCUUUCUCAUAACAUUUUUAAUUACUCAGUUUACUUUCCAUUCAAUAGGUUUGGAGUGGGAAGAACGUAAACGACGAAGUUAAAUGGCUUUCACAAGGUCCAAAUCGAGUGGUUAAAAGAUAUAGUGCGUUCCUCAUCAACGGAUUCAGAUUUCAUACAAAAUAUCGCGAGAGGUUGAGGAGAAUGCAAAAUUAUGGAACAGUUGUCAAUUCUGCAAUUAUAAGUUAUGCUAGUGCUAGGGACAAUAAUCCUGUCGAGGGAAAUGUGGAAUAUUUUGGACAUCUUACUGACAUAAUUGAGUUGGAUUACUACGGCAAAUGGAAAGUUGUCUUAUUUCAAGGUGAUUGGGCGGAUGUUAAUACAGCUCGUGGAAUUAAGUAAGAUCAAUUUGGUUUUACAAUGGUGAACUUUGACCGAUUGAUUCACACAGGACAACAACUGAUAGAUGAGCCGUAUGUAUUCUCAUCUCAAGUCAAACAAGUUUUUUACUCAAAAGAUCCAACUGAUGAGGGUUGGUACGUUGUACUCCGUAACAUCCCUAGAGACUUGUUUGACAUGGGCAGUGGAAGUAGAGAUAACAUCGACGACAGAUCAGAAACUUUGCCCUUUCCAGAACAAAACUUAAACGAUAAUAUCCCUAGUACUAGUGCACAAUUUCAAUGGGUUCGUCAGGAUAUCGAUGGUAUUUACGAAUAAUGAUGUAGUAAGAUUUUACAAUUGUUUAAUUAUAUGUAAUAUCAUAAUUUAAAUCUUGGCCUUAUUAUAUAUUUCAGUUGUUUUAUAUGUGCUGUUAUUGUUGUAAUUAGUUAUUAAGUUGUGAACUAUUUUAUGUGUAUUGCAGAUAAAAUGCCUAGAAGAAAAAUUUUAAGGGGAAGCAUUGUUCAAAAUGAUCCAAACUCGACAGAAACAAAUAGUACUGAACAACAGACAGUAAUUGGAUCUUCGAAUGUUCCGAUUACAGCUGAGGAUCCAACAGAAGUUCAAAGUAAUUUUACAUUUAAUUUACAUGCGUGUUGACUUAUAGUUGAUUUAUUUUUCAAAUUCUUAUAUUAUAAUAUACCAUUUGUAGCUGAAAAUGGUGGGACGCGCAGAGGUCGAGGAUGUACGCUACUUAGAGAGUUAUACGAGUUAGAUCCAGUCGAGCAUGUCAAAGUUGGACGAAACAGUUUUGGUCAGCCUGUUGGAUCAGAAGCUCGACUUUUAGCAGGAUACAUGGGCAUUUUAGCACGAAAUCCGAAUAUGUUGCCUAUCAACUAUGAGUCAUGGCAUCAAAUGCCCGAUAGCAACAAAAACCAAGCCCUCGAUAAUAUUAAGAUAACACAGAAUGUUAAUGUCAUCUGUAAUGCUUGGGAAGUAGUUUCAUUUAUAUUUACUUUAUUAACUUGUGUUUUUUUGUUUUUUGUAGGCGAGGUUUGCUUUAGAGGUCUCGGAUGUUUAUGUAAAGAAUGCAUUGGGAAAAAGAUGGAGAGACAAUAAAAGUACUUUGAAGAAAAAUUAUUAUAAGACAAAAACAACCCUCGAUGAGAAAUUGCAAAAUGUCCCGCCGUGUAUGUUGAGGUACCAAUGGGAAGAUGCGGUUAGAUUUUGGCAUUCGAAGAAAUGCGAGGUAUGACAUACUUCCAAACUAUUGUAAUUAUUUUGGUUUACAGUAUUUUCUAUUUACGUACUAAAAAUUUCAUAACAUAGGAUCGUGAACAAGUUGGAAAAAGCAGCAAGCAGAAACAAAAAUUCACCCACACAGCCGGGUCGAGAAGUUUUGCAUGUGUAGCUGAGGCGGAGGUAUUUUUAAUUUUUUAAUAUUGUCAAAUAUGUAUAACUUUCUAUUAAAUAAUAUUUUUACUACUAUAUUGUAGGAACUGUUGUCCGGUCAAAAAGUUGGACGCCUUCAACUUUUUGAAAUUACACAUAGGAAGAAAGAUGGAUCUCCCAUGACUCCUGAAGCUGCUGAAAUAAUGGUACGUUUACUUAAUACGAUUUGACUUGUUUUAGUUAUUUAUAGUGUUUAUUUUCUAAUGGUUUAAUUCAUUGCUUGUAAUGCGACUAUUGUUAUGUUGCAUAUGUUUUUUAAUAUAUAAUAUUGCGUUCCUAACUAUGUGAUUUAUUUAUUAGGAAAAACUAAAGGAUAAAAAGGCGGAGUACGAAGCGAUUGCUUCUAGUGAUAGUUCUGUUCAUCUUGAAGACAUUGACAACUGGAUUAUUACUGAAGUUUUGGGUUCUGAAAGGUAUGGUCGGGUUCGAUUUCAAGGAUCUUUUGUUAGCCCAACCCAAUAUUUUGGAUCCAGCUCGCACCAAUACAUGGCUUCGGGGAGUCAGGCUCAAGCUGAAGUUCAGAGGUUAAAAGACCAAAUGGCUCAGAUGCAAGCGACCACAGUUGAGGUUCAAAAGAAAUAUGAAGAACUCCAGCUACAACUUAAAAAAGAGGCGACAGCGAGGGAAGUAGCGGCUGUAGCGAGGGAAGCGGAGGCUGCAGCGAGAGAAUCAGAGCAGAGCAAAAAGUACGAUGAACUCCAGGAGCAGCUUCAGAUUAUGAUGAAGAUGUUUCAAUCGCAACUUCCGCCGUCAUAGUGUAUGACAUAAAUAUUUUUAUCAUUUUAACAUUUAACAUUUUUGCAAAAAUAAUAUGAAUUCACUUUUAUUUAUUGAUAUUAAUAUUAUUUUAUUCGUUUAAUUUGAAAUAUUAUAUAAAUUUAUUGCUUUUGGCUGGUUUAGAUCUGGUUGCUUUUGAUUUGUUGCUACAGGAGGGCUAAAAAAUGAAAAAUUUAAUAUAAAAAAUCCCCAAAAUAGUGGCAUUUUUGUAAAAAAACGCUGCUAAAGAACAUGUUCUUUAGCGGCGCUUAGACAAAAAGCCGCUAAAGACCAUGUUCUUUAGCGGCGCUUAAGAAAAAAACGCCACUAAAGAACAUGUUCUUUAGUAGCGUUUAUAAACAAAAACGCCGCUAAAGACCAUGUUCUUUAGCGGCGCUUAGAAAAAAACGCCGCUAAAGACCAUGUUCUUUAGCGGUGUUUUUUCUUAAGCGCCGCUAAAGAACAUGGUCUUUAGCGGCGUUUUUGUUUAUAAACGCUACAAACGUUUGCGACGUUUUCGUUAGCGGCCUUUUUUGCGGCGCUUGUGGAAGCGCCGCAAAUAGAUUUAGUGGCGUUAAGAAGCGCUGCUAAAGGCCUAAAAAAACGCCGCUAAAGACCUGUUUUGGUGUAGUGAUAGGAUUAGUCCUUUCAAUAUAUUUUCAUGUCCUUUAAAGUUUGAACAUUCAAUUUAAAAGAUAUAUGCUAGUUGGACCCUAUAUUUAGAGGCUAUUUGCAUGUUGUUAUUAUUGCUGGUGCAUUUAUCCAUAACUGAUAUGUUGUUAUUUUCUUCUCCAGCCUAGACUGUGGUGGCAGAAUGAGAUCCACAGUCUCCAUUAUCGGUACUGAAAACAUCAGUUGUACAGAUUUGGGAGAGAAUGGUGUUGUAAUAAUUCCAGACUUUGUUCUAUCAAUUGAUGAUUAUCUUCAAAUUCUCACGAGGAUGGCACGGCACACAGUCAAUGGUGUAUUGCAUAGUUUUUUAACUAAAGAUGAUUCGCAGCAUGCUGGCCCGUUGAUCGAAAUUCUUGAACAAUGUGGGCAGGAAGUAGCGAAGAGCUAAGAAACUUGUGAGAUGGGGAUCUUCAGUGUUGGAAUGCUUGAAAAGGGAUAAGCAAUCAUUGUUUCAAGACCCUCCGAUUUCUUUGCAGGUAAUGUUAGUAGGUGAACUGUUGCACCUGCAGUUUUGCUAAUGCAGCACUGGUGUUGACAAUUUGUAAAAUUAGUAGGCUGUGUGGUCAUAAAGAGGCAUAAAACAAGUUAUUUGAUUAUUGCUAGGUAUCGAAUGAUGAAAAAUUAGAGCUUGAUUUGAGAUAAAAUCAAAUUAUUCAAGUUUGGUUCCAAUUCCAAUUUAGCUGUUGGUUUUUCUUUUAUGGUUUAAAUUUUAAACAUUGAUGGAGCAUUAUUUAUUUAUCAUGUUUUAGUAUAUAAAUUAACAAUAAAUUAAUUUUAACAGAUAAUAUCUAGUUAUUUACAUGAUUUUUUUUAAGAAAUCAUUUUUCCUUGCUACUUAGUUUUUUAGUUUCAAAAAAUUAUAUUCAUUAUCACUACACCAAAACAAGCUUUUAGCGGCGCUUUUUUAGGCCUUUAGCGGCGCUUUUUAGGCCGCAGAUACUUUUAGCGGCGCUUUUCAAAGCGCCGCAACAUACGCCGCUAAUGAAUGCGCCGCUAACUUUUGCGGCAUUUUUUUUCUCUAAACGCCGCUAAAGACCCUGAUCUAUAGCGGCGCUUCUAGCACAAACGCCGCUGAAGACUAAGACCUUUAGCGGCGCUUUAGUGGAAGCGCCGCUAAAGACCCUGAUCUUCAGCGGCGUUUGUGCUAGAAGCGCCGCUAUAGAUCAGGGUCUUUAGCGGCGUUUUUUUCUCAAACGCCGUAAUAGACCCUGAUCUAUAGCGGCACUUUCUCCUAAAACGCCGCAAUAGACCCUGAUCUAUAGCGGCGCUUCGACCACAAAACGCCACUAAAGAACCUAAUCUUUAGCGGCGCUUUCCCCAAAAACGCCGCUAAAGACCAUGAUCUUUAGUGGCGCUUUUUCCACAAAUGCCGCUAAAGACCCUUAUCUUUAGCGGCGCUUUGACCAAAAACGCCACUAAAGGCCAACACCUUUAGUGGCGUUUUUUUUAAAAACGCCACUAAAUUUGGCAGAUUUGUAAAAUAAAAUUUUUUAUAUUUUCAGCCCUCCUGUAAAAACAAAUCAGAAGAAAUCAUAUCUAAACCAGCCAAAAGUAAUAAAUCUAUAUAUUAAACAAAUAAUAAAUAUCAAUAAAUAAAAUAAAUUUCGUAUUAUUCUUACAAAAAUGUUAAAAGUUAAAAUGAUAAUUAAAAGUCAAAAUCGAAGUAUAUUUACACGAUAGUCUAAGACGGCGGCUGUUGCGACUGCUGAAACAUCUUCAUCAUGCUCUGAAGCUGCUGCUGGAGUUCAUCGAACUUUUGACGUUGCUCUGCUUCCCUCGCUGCAGCCUCUGCUUCCCUCGCUUUAGCCUCUGCUUCCCUCGCUGCAGCCUGUACUUCUCUAGCUGCCGCCUCUGCUUCUUUUACUGCCGAUCUGCUUUAAGCUGCUGCUGGAGUUCUUCAUACUUUCGUUGAACCUCAGCUUCUCUCGCUGCUGCAUCUGCUUUCAAUUGUAGCUGGAGUUCUUCAUAUCUUUUUUGAACCUCAGCUUCUCUCGAUGUUGCCUCCGCUUUAAGUUGUGUAAUUUGCUCAAUUGUUGUCGCUUGCAUCUGAGCCAUCUGGUCUCUUAACCUCUGAACUUCAGCUUCGGCUUGACUCCCCGAAGGCAUAUAUUGUUGCGAGCUAGAUCCAAAAUAUUGGGAUGGGUUAACAAAAGAUCCUUGAAAUCAAACCCGACCAUACCUUUCAGGACCCAAAACUUCAGUGAUAAUCCGGUUAUCAAUGUCGUCAAUAUGAACAGAACUAUCACUGGAAGCAAUCGCUUCGUACUCUGCCUUUUUAUCCUUUAAUUUUUCCUAAAAAAUAAAUCCUAUAGUUAGGAAUGCAAUAUAUAUUAAAAAAACCCAAUGCAACAUAACUUAACAAUAUUUGCAUUACAAUAAAUGAAAUAAAUCAUUAGAAAAUAAACACUAUAAAUUAUUAAAACAAUUUAAAUUGUAUUAAUUAAGCAAACGUACCAUAAUUUUUGCAGCUUCAAGAGUCAUAGGGUUUCCAUCUUUCUUCCUAUGUGUAAUGUCAAAAAGUUGAAGGCGUCCAACUUUUUGACCGGACGACAGUUCCUACAAUACAAUAGUAAAAAUAUUAAUGUAAGUAAGUAAUAAAUAUCUGCCAAUAUUAAAAAAUUGAAAAUACCUCUGCAUGAGCUACACACGUAAAACUUUUCGACCUAGCUGUGUGAGUGAAUUUUUGUUGCUGCCUACUUUUUUUUCCAACUUCUUCACGAUCCUACAUUAUGAAAUUAUUAGUACGUUAAUUAGGAAAUACUAUACACCAAAGUAAUUACAAAAUUUUAUAAGUUAAACAUACCUUUCCUUUCUUCGAAGUCCAAAAUCUAACGACCUCUUCCCACUGGUACCUCAGCAUUCCCGGUGGGACAUUUUGUAAUCUCUCCUCGAGUGUUGUUUUUGUCUUAAAAUAGUCUUUCUUUAAAGUGCUCUUAUGGUCUCUCCAUCUUUUUCCCAAUGCCUUCUUUACAUAAGCAUCGGAGACCUCUAGAGCAAAUCUCGCCUACAAAAAACACAACUUAAGAAAGUAAAUGUAAACGAAACUUAAACCCAAGUAUUAUAAAUGACAUACACGUUUUGUUACCUUAAUGUUAUCGAGAGCUUGGUUCUUGUCACUCUCGGGCACUUUAUGCCAUGACUCGAAGUUAAUGGGUAACAUAUUUGCAUUCCGUGCUAGAAUGCCCAUGUAUCCUGCUAAAAGGCGAGCUUCUGAUCCAACAGGCUAACCGAAGCUAUUACUGGAUACUUGGACACGCUCGACUGGAUCUAGGUCGUAUAAAUCGCUCAGUAUCGUAUGUCCGUGACCUCUCCGCGUCCGACCAGUUUCAUCUGAAAAAUAAAAGUAUUGUAAUAUACGAAAUUUAAAAAAAACAAACAAGAAGUCAACACACAUGUAAAUUAAAUGUUAAAUUACUUUGAACUUCUAUAGGUUCCUCAGGUGUAACCAGAACAUUCGAAGAUCCAAUAGCAGUCUGUUGUUCAGUGCUGUUUGUUUCCGCCGAGUUUGGAGUACCUUGAACAAUGCGGUGCGAUCGCACUUUUCUUCUAGGCAUUUUAUCUGCAAUAGAAAUAAAUUAGUUGAAAACUUAGUAUACAAUUACAAGAAUAAUAUCACAUAUAAAAUAGUUGAAAUGUCAUCAUUCGUAGAUGUAAUUAGAUAAUCGUAAAAGCUUACUACAUUAUAAUUCGUAAAUCUCUUCAUCCGUAUCCUGGCGGAUCCAUUGAAAUUGUGUACUAGUACUAGGGAUGUUUUCGUUUAAGUUCUGUUCUAGAAAUGGCAAAGUUUGUGUUCUGUCGUCAAUGUCAUCUCUACUUCCACUGCCCAUGUCAAACAAGUCUCUAGGGAUGUUACGGAGUACAACGUACCAACCCUCAUCAGUUGGGUCUUUUGAGUAAAAAACUUGUCUGACUUGAGAAGAAAAUACAUACGGCUCAUCAAUCAAUUGUUGUCCUGUGUGAAUCAAUCGAGCAAAGUUUACCAUUGUGAAACCAAAUUGAUCUUGCUUGAUUCCACGUGCAGUGUUAACAUCGGCCCAAUCACCUCGAAAUAAGACAACUUUCCAUUUGCCGUAGUAAUCCAACUCAAUUAUGUCAGUAAGAAGUCCAAAAUAUUCCACAUUUCCCUCCACAGGAUUAUUGUCCCUAGCACUAGCAUAACUUGUAAUUGAGGAAUUAACCACUAUUCCACAAUUUUGCGUUCUCUUCAAUCUCUCGCGAUAUUUUGUAUGAAAUCUGAAUCCGUUUAUGAGGAACGCACUAUAUCUUUUAACCACCCGAUCUGGACCUUGGGAAAGCCAUUUAACUUCGUCGGUGACGUUCUUCCCACUCCAAACCUAUUGAAUGGAAAGUAAACUGAGUAAUUAAAAAUGUUUUGAGUAAAUGUUAUUAUUUGUCGGUGAAAGCUCCAAUUACAUACCGUUUGGCUUAACCAUUCAUGAAAAGAUUCUGUAAACAACUUAUUGAUAUCUCGAUGUUGUGUUCUUCAGGAGCGUGAACGAGAUCUCAAUAUUUGUUUGUACUCACUAUGUUAAAAAUAUGUUCACUUUGUUAGACUAUAAACAAUUUUUAAAUGAUGAAUAUUUAUCAAAUUUCCAGAACUUACUUGCGUAAAGGUUCGAUUGAUUCGUGGUGAAACAGAACAUAUCGAUGUGCUUGAACCCACGAUAAAUCAUCUAAUUCUGCAAUUUCAACUUUACCGAUUGGUUCUCCAAAACUUUGGAACAAAUAAGUCUCGGAAAAGUUAUGAUCCGUGAGUCCAGCAUUUCUAUUUGGUCUGUUCAACCUUGUUUCAACAUCUUCCAAAUAUCUUGAACAGAAGGUCAUACAUUCCUCUGCCAAGUAGCCUUCAGCAAUCGAUCCUUCUGGAUAACGCUUGUUGCGGUAAUAAGACUUUAAUUUGGAUAGGAACCUAAACACGGUAUACAACAUUAUCAAAAGUUGUAACUAAAGGCAUAUAGGUGAAUGGAGGAAAAUUUUAAAAAUUGUAAUUAACACCUUUCUAUGGGAUACAUCCAUCGAUAGAAAACGGGUCCGCCAAGAAUUGCUUCAUGCGGGAGAUGGAUUAUCAAGUGAACCAUAAUAGUGAAGAAGGAAGGUGGGAAGAUUUUCUCCAUGUUGCAUAAAGUUAAAGCGGCUCGAUCCUGUACCUUCUGAAGUUCUUGAACAUCCAAAACUUUGCCACAAAUGACUUUCAUUAUAUUGGAUAGUUCAAUUAUACAAGACGUCACCUUCUUGGACAUACAACAUCGUAGAGCCACUGGCAGUAAAUCUUGCAUCAAGAUGUGAUAGUCAUGUGAUUUUAGCGAAUAUAAUCUUCGAUCUUUAACACUAACACAUCGAGAUAUAUUUGAUGCAUACGCAUCUGGAACCUUUAUAUCCUUCAACACCGUGCAGAACAAUUCUUUUUCCGUCUUCGACAUUGAAAAAAUAGAAGGCGGCAAUCGAUAUUUCCCGUUCGGUAGUGGAUUGGGAUGAAGAUCAGGUCGGAUUCCCAUUUGGACUAAAUCAAGUCGACUCUGAAGAUUGUCUUUUGAUUUUCCGUCGAUAUUCAAAACUGUACCCACAAUGUUCUCGCAGACAUUUUUCUCAAUGUGCAUAACAUCAAGAUUGUGUCGUAGAAGGUGAUGCUCCCAAUAAGGUAACUAAAAAAAAAUACUUCUUUUUUUCCACAACUCCGCCUCAUUAGGAUCGUCCUCUUCAUUAGAGUCAUCAUCAGCUUCAUCAUUGGAUCUUCUAUUUCUUUGCGUGUUUGGCGGUUGGUUCAUCUUCCCAUAAAUAAAAUUCAUAUCUUCCAACAUGAACAAGAUUUCAGAGCCACUGGUCUGCGAAGGAGCUUCUCUGAACUCUUCAGUACCGUCAAAUACAGAACUCUGAAAUCUAAAUCUAUGAUUUUUCGGUAACCACCGACGAUGCCCCAUGUAAGAGAACUUCUUCCCAUUGUACAACCAUUGCGAACAUGUUUGUGCAGCAUAAUAAGGACACGCAUAACGACCCUUGGUACUCCAACCGGAUAAAUUGGCAUAGGCGGGAAAGUCAUUAAUGGUCCACAUCAAAGCUGCACGUAAAUUAAAGUUCUCCUUUCUCACCACAUCGUAUGUCUCGACACCCGCCCACAAUUGUUUUAACUCUUCAAUAAGUGGCUGUAAAUAAAUGUCGAUAUCAUUCCCGGGCCCUUUCUCCCCAGGGAUAAUCAUAGAUAAGAUAAAGGAAGAUUGCUUCAUGCAAAUCCACGGAGGCAGAUUGUAAGGAACAAGCACUACUGGCCAAGUACUGUAGGCAGUGCUCAUGAUCUUGAAAGGAUUAAAUCCAUCAGAUGCUAGCCCAAGCCUCACACUCCUAGGAUCGCUUGCGAAGCUUGGAAAUUUAUUGUCAAAUGAUUUCCAAGCUAAAGAAUCUACCGGAUGCCUUAAUAGUCCAUCAUCGGUUCGUCCUUCAUGGUGCCACGUCAUUGACUCUGCUGUCUUCGAUGACAUGAAAAGCCUUUGAAGCCUUGGUAUCAGCGGAAAAUACCGCAAAAUCUUGACCGACUUCUUUCUUAGCUGUGCAUCAUUUUCAUUGUCGUUCCCAUCUUCUGUGUUUCUAUUUAUCCAACGGGAUUCGCCGCAUACAUGACAGCACUAUUGGUUUCUGCGAUCGCCCCAGUACAACAUGCAAUCAUUCGGGCAACUAUGGAUUUUGUUGUACCCAAGACCUAAGUCUUUUAUCAUUUUCUUCAUAUCUUUGCAUGACUGAGGGAUUUUUGCAAACGAAAACAUUUCUCUCAAAAACUCUAACAGCAUUGUCAAUGAGUUCCCGGUCCACCCUCCCAAACAUUUUAACUGGAAAAGACGAAUGCAGAAAGGCAUUUUUGAAAAUUUCGAUCCCUCAUAUAGUUCUUCAUUCAUCUCAUUAAGUAGCGCGUAGAACUUCGCCGCUUCUGCAUUCGGCUCUUCAUGAGGUACACUUGUUCCCGGUUCGGUAAAAGCAUUUGCACCAACAUUGUAAUCAUCAGAUGUCAUAAAGUCAGCUCGGAAUGACGGCUGAAAACCAUGAUUGUGCAUAUUAAAUGCAUCUCGCAACAUACCUUCCAUAUCAUCCCCUCCAACAGACUGAUAGUAAGCAGUACCAGGAUAAGAUACAUCCAUCGUUGAAGAGGAGGUACUAGGCGGGCAUUCUCCAUGAAAAUGCCAUUUUUUAUAACCCCGAACAAACCCAUCAACAAUUAGAUGCUCGUAUACAACUUCGCGAUAAUGCCAGUUUAUGUUGACACACUUCUUACACGGGCAAAGAAUCAUGUUCUCUUGGCUUGCAUAUUGAAAUGCAAAAUUGAGAAAAGUCUCAACUCCGUUUCGAUAACCGUUGCUUACCCUUGACAAAUUCAUCCAAGAUCGGUCCAUAUCUUAAUUCUUGAAGUCUGACGUUGACAAUAAAUUGCACGGGUAAGUUAUGUAAGUUAUUUAAGUUAUGUAAGUUGUGUAUUAUGUAAGUUAUUAUUAUGUAAGUUAUGUAAGUAAUGUAUUAUGUAAGUUGUGUAUAAUGUUAGUUAUCAAAGUUACAGUAUGUAAGUUAUUUAAGUUAUGUAAGUUGUGUAUUAUGUAAGUUAUGUAGGUUAUGUAUAAUGUAAGUUAUUAUGUUAUUAUGUAAGGUAUGCAAGUUUAUAUAUAAGUUUAUAUUAUGUAAGUAUUACAUUUUUAUGUAUCUUAUUUAUAAUUAUUUUUAAAAUUAUAAAAUAUAUUGACAAUAAAAUUGACAUAUAGGUUAUAUAUCCAUACCAUAUAUGGGGUGAUAUAUUAAAAAUAUAGGUUUUAAUAUUUAAAAAUAACAUUUACAACUAUUUUUAAAAUUAUAAAAUUUAUUGACAAUAAAAUUGUAAUAUAGGUUAUAUAUCCAUACCAUAUAUAUAAAUAAAAUUGAAAUAUAGGUUAUAUAUCCAUACCAUAUAUAUAAAUUUUAAAUAUAUAUAUAUAAAUAUUAAGUAAUGUAAUAUAUUUAAGUAAUGUAAGUUAAAAAUUUUUGUAAGUAAUGUAAUAAUUUUAAGUAAUGUAAUAUAUUUAAGUAAUAUUGUAAUAUAUUUAAGUAAUGUAAGUUAAAAAUUUUUGUAAGUAAUGUAAUAAUUUUAAGUAAAUAAUAUAUUUAAGUAAAUUUUAGUAAUUAAUAUAUUUACGUAAUGUAAGUUAUAAAUUUUAAAUAUAUAUAUAUAUAUUAAUAAUUCAUUGACAUUCAUUGACAAUUCACUGACAGUCAAUCAAUUAAUCACAUCUAACGUCGAUAAUUUAUUCAUUGACAUAAAAUCGAAAAUCGAUAAUUUAUUCACAUUAAACCGAAUAAACUAAUUGGCCAUAAUUUAUUCAAUUACUCAAAUAUAAAAAGUGAUUGAAGAAUCAUAAUAUGAAUUUUAAUAAUUUGCCUCAUAUAGUUCUUGGGUAAAUGAUACGUACAAAAAUAACAAGCAUAAUUUAAAACUAGCAUAACUUGUAAUAAGCUGUAAAGUUACACGCAAAUUGAGCUAGCAACAUAUAAAGCAAAGAUGAUCAUUAAAACCGAUACCCACGGCUUUAAAACCAAAAAUCUUAAUUAAAACUCCGUUUUAAAACUAAAAAAAUAACUAAACGAUAAAGCUAAAAUAUAACCAAAUCCAAAAUUUAAACAUUUGGAGGUGUUUUUUUUAAGAAAACUAUCUAGGGAAACAUAGAAAUAAAUACCUCAAAUUUCCUCAACUUCGAAGCAAACUUUUGCAAAAAAACAAAAAACACACACACAAGUAAAUUAGUACCAACAAAACAGAAAAAAAUAAUAGAAGGAAACAAAAGAAUAUUUAACUAAAUUAAGAUUCAAAUCUAAAUUUGAAUUUUAAUUAUCACAACAAUCAGAACAAUACAUAAAGACCAAUGCAGAACAUGACUCUAUAUUUAUUCAGAAUUACCGUAUGAAAUAUUUCCAUAUCAAAUUCACUUCAUUAUUCAUACCAAAUAUUAAUAUCAAAUAUUUAACAACUUUGAUUCAGAUGAAAUAUCUAAAAUCAAAUUCACAUCAAAGAACAUUUGACAGUAGCCUAAAUUUAGGAUCUAACCAACCAUUCUUUUACAAAUUAUGAACAGUUGACAGUAGCUAAGAUGCUGUCUACAGUCACAAUUUCGGCAAAGCAGCAUUGAGUCUCAUAACCCACAAGAUAAAAUUUGUUACAUUUAACUAAAUAUAAACAAGAUCUAUUAUUAAAUAAUAUAUUUUGCUAUCGCAAAACUAGACAAAUAAACAGAACAGGUAUUUGCAAAACAGAAAACAGAAAAUAUCGCUAAACAGACUAGAAAACAAACUAGAAAACAAAACCCAAGAAUUAAUACAAGAUAUUAUUCUUCAAAUAUAUUAUUUUUAAAAAAAAGGCAUACACAUUCCAUUAUCUCCACAAUCGUGGAUCACUCAAAAUCCAAGUAAAAUAAACAUAGAAAUUUAAUCUGCAGCAGCAUCCUAACACUUGUUGAGUUGAAUACAUAGAAAUUUGGGUUUCAAUAAACAUAAUAAUAACUUCAUUAUUAUUUUGAGAUUCAAUUUACCUAGAUUUUCCCUUUUGUGUCCUGCACUUAAAAAAGCCACUAACAAACCCAUCAUUUUGCAACAUAUGCUAAGAAACAGUUUUCAAUAAACAUGAAAUGAUGAUAUUUUCUGCUGCAGAUUAGCUAGAGGAAUGGUUAAUUUUGAGAUUCAAUUUAGCUAGAUUUUCCCUUUUGUGUCCUGCACUUUAAAAAGCCACUAACAAACCCAUCAUUUUGCAACAUAUGCUAAGAAACAGUUCUCAAUAAACAUGAAAUGAUGAUAUUUUCUGCUGCAGAUUAGCUAGACGAAUGGUCAAAGACAUUCAAACGAAUAAAAAUAAUGGAAACCAAAUUGGAAAUUUGAGUAUACCAAAAUAAUUAGAUACCAAAAUAAGAAUUAUACCAAAAUAAUUAGAUACCAAAAUAAGAAAACAGGUAUACUUUAGAAGUUAAACCCUGAAUUAAACUAAUAAACCGUGAAAUAGAAUCCCCACAAAUGGAGUACAAACCCUAACAUGCAUAACUUUUUCUACAAAAUUUAUCGACCCUAACAUGCAAAAAGAAAAAAAAGAAGAUUAACUAUAGAUUAAAAAAAUCCCCAAAUUGACUGAAAGAAAACCCUAUAUGUAGAUCGAUUAUUGAGGGAAAAAGGGUUACCUUUAAAACAAUAAUUCCGCAGCUUUGAUAACAGAGUGUAGAUCGAUUCAACUAUUGCUUUGUUUCUUUUGAUUUCUGAGUUCUCCUCUGAUUUUUUUUCUUUGUAUUUUGGUCUUUCUAUUUUUUUCUUUUCCUUUCGAUUCUCUACUCUGCCUUACUCUGUGUUUUUUUCUUUUCCUUCUUUCUCAGAUACUAAAUCGAUAGACUGAAACUGGUGUUUAACAACGUGUAAAGAAACGGCGCCGUUUUAGACAAAGUAUACAGAUUUGCGGCGUUUUAAGGAAACAACGCCGUUAUUGCUUCCAUAAUUUCCAAAAUUAAAUUCCGAAACAGCACCGUUUUAAGAACCUUAAAUAUAUAUUUGCGGCAUUUUUAGCAAAAACGCCACUAAAAAUUACCUUACUGAAUAGAAACGGUGCCGUUUUAAGAAACUUUAACCAUAGUUCUGGCGUUUCCCAAAAAACGCCACUAAAAUUUCAAGUCCUGAAGAGAAACGGUGACGUUUUGAAAAACAUUAAUACAUAAUUGUGGCGUUUUUAGCAUAAACGCCACUAAUAGAUUACACUCCUCUUCUGAAACGGUGCCGUUCUGAGAAACUAUAACACAUAUUUACGGCGUUUUCCCAAAAAACGCCACAAAUUAAAUUAAAUUUCUAAAUGGGAACGACGUCGUUUUGAAAAAAAUGGGUACAUAGUUGCGGCGUUUCUAUGCAAACGCCACUAAUGUUUUUUAUUUCUUAUAAUGUGGUCCUAUAUAUCCAAAAUAAAUAAUUAUACCUAAAUAUUCGUAUAUAUAUCAAUCUAUUACUUUUAUAACUUAUUUAUUAAUUCUAUUUAAACUAAUAUUUAAAUAUAUCAAAUGAUUUAGAUUAAAAUUUUUAAAUAUAAAAGCAUUAAAGUAUAAAAUUUUAUCAUUUAAUAAAUCUUAAGUCCCCAAUCAAUAAUUAACCUUAAAUCCUAAUUUAACCAUUCAAUACAUGUAAUUAAAUUACAAAAACUAAUUAAUCUAAACCUAAAACCCUAAAUUGACCCUAAAUCUCUAAACCCUAAAUCAUAUAAUUCUUAACCCCUAACGUCUAACCCCUAACCCCUAACCCCUAAACCUUAAAUCCCAACCCUUAAACCAUAAUCCCUAGUCCUUAAUCCCUAAAUCUAUACUCCAUAAACCUUAAAAUAUUAACUCCUAAACUGGCCUUAAAUAUUAAAUUAAUACCCUAAACCCUAAACCCUAAACAAAGUCGUAAAUAUCUCUUUUAUAAUUAUAUAAGAAAAUAUUUAAAAUAUAAAUUCAAAAACUAAUUAAUCUAAACCUAAAACCCUAACCCAACCCCUGAAUUCGGCCUAAAACCUAAAUCAUAUUCUUAACCCCUAAUGUCUAUCCCUAAACCCCAAACCUUUAAAUCCCAACCCUUAAACCAUAAUCCCUAAAUCCAUACCCCUAAACCUUAAAAUAAUAACUCCUAACCCGGUCUUAAAUCUUAAAUUAAUCAUAUACCCUAAACCAAAAACCUUAAACAAAUUUAUUAUUACCCCUUUUACAAUUAUAUAAAAACAUAUUUAAAAUAUAAAUUAAAAAACUAAUUAAUCUAAACCAAAACUCUAACUUGACCCCUGAAUCCCUAAACCCUAAAUCCUUAACUAUUAAUGCUUAACGUCUAACUCCUAACCCCUAAACAUUAACCUUAAAAUAAUAACUCCUAAACCGGCCUUAAAUCUUAAAUAAUUAAUAAUCAUAUAUAUACCCUAAAUUAAACCAAAAACCCUAAACUACAGUGAUAAUUAAUUCAAUAUUUUAAUAUUAAUACUAUCUCUUUUACGAUUAUAUAAGAAAUUAUUUAAUAUAUAAAUUAAAAAACAAUCAGUAAUCAUGUACCCAAAAAACUUUAAAAUUAUUUUAAAUAAUAUUAUUUUAAUUUUUCAUUUAUUUUAUUUCAAAUUAUUUCCACAUGUUAUUAUUUUUUUUGAAGAUUUUAAAUAUUCAAUUACAAAUAAAUUGAAUUUUAUUUAAUUAAUAUAAAUAAACUAGUUAAGAUAAAAUGUCCUUAGCGGCACUUUUCCAUAAAACGCCGCUAAAUACCUCAGCAUUAGCGGCGCUUUUCCAGAAAACGCCGCAUUAGCGGCGCUUUUACAAAAACGCCGCUAAGAGCCCAUAGAAUUAGCGGCGCUUAUUAAAAAACGCCGCUAAAGACCCGAAAGUAGGAAAACGUCGUCGUUUUGCUUUGGCUAUUUUGCGGCGUUUUUAUUAAAACCGCCGGUAAUGGUUCUUUUUAGCGGCGUGUUAUUUAAAAAGCCGCUAAUGCUCCUAUUUUAGCGGCGUUUUCUUAAAAACACCGCUAAUUCUCGAUUUUUUCCGGCGUUUUUUGUUAAAACGCCACUAAAGGUGCCGCUAAAAGCCUGCUUUGGUGUAGUGUAUUCUUCAUGUUACUACUAUUAUAAUACGUAUAUAGUAAAUAAAAUUUUCUUUUCUUAUUACUACAUUAAUAAUGAUUAAUUUUUGAUGGGGUCUAAUUUGAACCUAAUGGAGUCCACCCGAAUAAUUAAUCAUUUUCUUUUUAUAUGUGGAGAUGAAAAGAAGCAUGGUAAUAAUAUGUAUUUAAAAUUAUACAUAGUGCGGGAUAGUGGUGAUAAAGAUAGAUUUAAAAUAUUAGGGAGUGGCGGUAAAGAUAAACAAAGAUUGGGAAAAUUGAUCCAAAAGCUAAUAAUGGGGUGGGGGGAAAUGUUUGUCCAUAUAUGUAUUCUACUAAAAAUGUAAAUAAUGUAAACAUUAAACACAUGUUUUUAUUAAUUUAUGAUUAACUAUAAUAUAUAUUUAUAUUUUUGGAAAAAUAAAAUAACAAAUCUUCAUGAUAUAUAGUUCUGAACAUGCAGUUAGCUGCCAUAUGCAUGGAUCUCUUGAAAAUGGACCUCUUGAAUGUACCCAAACUUCCUAGCAAUCCAUUGUUUGUCUCUCUCAUUCUCCUUUUCACCCUUUUAAUUUGGCUCAAACUAGCAAAAAGGAAACACCUCAAUUUGCCUCCAUCACCCCCAAAGCUACCUAUUAUCGGUAACAUUCAUCAACUUGGCAAACUUCCCCACCGUUCUCUUCGAGACCUCUCAAGGAACUAUGGUUCUCUCUUGCUUCUGCAUUUGGGUUGUAACCUAACGUUACUGGUUUCAUCAGCCGACAUGGUUAGAGAAAUUCUAAAAGACCAUGACGUUGUUUUCUCCGACAGACCAAGUUCCACUGCAACAAAUAUCUUGUUUUAUGGAUGCAGGGAUAUAGGUUUUGCACCCUAUGGUGAGUACUGGAGACAACUAAAGAAGCUCAGUGUUGUUGAGCUUCUUAGCCACCGAAGAGUACACUCAUUUCAGUUUGUCAGAGAUGAAGAAGUUGGACUUCUUAUCAACAAAAUCCGCCGUGCUUGUCUUAAAGGAGACUCUAUUAAUCUCUCAGAGAUGCUUAUGUUGGUUUCUAGCAACAUAGUUUCUCGUUGUGUUAUUAGUCGAAGAAGUGAAGAAGAAGAAGAAGAAGAUGGGUGCUGCAAGUUCGGGCAGUUGGCAAAAAGAACGGGGGUUCUCCUCACAAGUUUCUGUGUAGGGGAUUUGUUUCCUUACCUGAGGUGGGUCGAUGUGCUUACUGGAUAUAUUCCACGUUUGAAAGCAUUAUUUGGAGAACUGGAUUCAUUUUUUGAUCAGAUUAUUAAGGAGCAUACAACAUUGAAAACUGAUGACCAAGUUUCCAAUAAGGACUUCAUUUCUACAAUUAUGCAGCUCCAAAAGGAUGGCAUGCUUGAGAUUGAUCUCACUAACAUCAAAGCAAUCUUACUGGUUAUUCAACACCCUCUCCUUCCUAUGUAUAUAGCAUUCCCCCCCUUUUGCAUGUUGGUCAUAGGUCUUUAAUUUUGUCAAUCUCAGGACAUGCUCGUCGCUGGAACGAAUACCACUGGAGCGGCAAUACAAUAGAUUACGGCUGAACUCCUAAAGCGUCCAAAUGUAAUAAAAAAGGUCCAAGAAGAGGUAAGGAAUGUGGUGGGAAACAAAUGUAAGGUGGAUAUGGAGGAUAUCAAUAAAAUGAAGUACUUAAAAUGUGUGCUCAAAGAAACUUUAAGACUGCAUCCGACUGUUCCUCUUCUUAUUCCUCGACAAACAUCUGCAAGUGUUGAAUUGGGUGGCUACCACAUUCCUUCCAAUAUCACCAUCUUGAUAAAUGCAUGGGCCAUUCAAAGAGAUCCCAAAUGGUGGGAAAACCCAGAAGAGUUCAUCCCAGAGAGGUUCGAGAAUAGCUCCAUUGAUUUCAAUGGUCAAGAUGUGCAGUUCAUCCCAUUUGGUUUUGGAAGGAGGAACUGUCCUGGGAUGCCCUUUGCAGUUACUGUUAUUGAGUAUGUGAUGGCUAAUCUUUUGUAUUGGUUUGUGAUGAAGUUGGUUCAGCAUGCAGCAAACUCGACAGCAUGCAGGCCAUGAAGACCAAGACAUGCCGGAGCUGCUGAUGCAAGCUUAUUUUGUUUAUUUUGUAAUUCCUAGUCAAUGAAAUGUAAUCUUAGUUCAUUUCUAACUAAGUUAGGUUGUUGACUGAUGUAAUUAGCUUAUGUAUGAGCUGUAAACACAACUUUGUAUAAGUUUACAAGCCAAAAUUUCAAGUUUCCAUGUCAUUAGUGGAGGUAGGUGAUGUUUAGCUAAUUACUUACUGUUUUUGACAAGCUUAGUGCCUGGUUUAUGUAUUGGCAUUGUGCCAUUAUGCAAUUUAUGAAUGAAGUUCAGUUUGUUCAUCAAUUUUUCUCUUCAUUUUCUCUUAGCUUUUCUUCCUUUCUCUUGCUCGAAUUCUCUUGUUUGCUCAGCAAGUCUCGAGACUUGCUCGACAAGUCUGUACUGAAUCUGUUAGUUUCAGUUACAGCACCAACAAUUGGUAUCUAGAGCCUAUUUCUUAAGGGAUCUGUUACACAAAUCCAUGGCUUCAUCAAGCUUUUCACCAGCUGCACCUCAAGUCUUCAAUGGAGAAGGCUAUCACAUAUGGGUGGUCAAAAUGAAGACCUACCUGCAGGCUUUCGAUCUGUGGGAGGUGGUCAACUCUGAUGUUGAACCAGAGCCACUUAGAGCUAAUCCAACAGUGGCUCAGAUCAGGCAGCAUGCUGAUGAAAGGACCAAGAGGCACAAGGCUAUGUCUUGCAUCCAAAACUCAGUGUCUGAUGUGAUUUUCACAAGGAUUAUGGCCUGUGAAUCACCAAAACAGGCCUGGGACAAGUUGCAGGAAGAGUUUCAAGGGACAGUGAGGACAAGGCAGCAACAGUUGUUGAACUUGAGGAGAGAUUUUGAGAAUUUGAAGAUGAAGGAAGAAGAAACUGUCAAGCAAUAUUCUGACAGGAUUAUGGCUGUGGUUAACAGCAUCAGGCUCUUAGGAGAGCAGUUCAAUGAAGCUAGGAUAGUGGAGAAGGUUAUAGCAACUCUGCCUGAGAGGUAUGAGGCAAAAAUCUCAUCUCUCGAGGACUCAAGGGACCUGUCCACCAUCUCCCUGAUAGAGUUGAUCAAUGCUCUAUAUGCUCAAGAGCAGAGGAGUGCAAGCAGACUGGAGGAGCACCAAGAAGGUGCCUUUCAGGCAAGAACAAAUACUGCCUACAAAGGCAAAAAGGCCUGGAGAGACAAGCCAAAGAAUGAUGCUGCAAGGAGAGAAGGUCAGACUUGCAAGCACUGCAGAAAGGCUGGUCAUUCAGAAGAAAAAUGCUGGUUCAAUCCAGAUGCUGUGUGUCAGCAUUGUAAGAAGAAGGGUCAUGUUGAGAGAGUCUGUAAGAGCAAGGCCAAAUCAAGGCACAAUCAGUUUCAACAGAUGAAAGCUGAGGCUCGAGUAGCUAAGGAGGACAGUGACCAAGAGGAGCAAGUCUUUGCUGUGUCAUGCUCAGCUGCUCAGGAAAGGUCCUCAUCUGGUUGGCUCCUAGACAGUGGAUGCACCAACCACAUGACACCUGAUGCUGCAAUCUUCAAGUCUUUAGACAGAAGCUGCAGAACUAAAGUCAAGAUAGGAAAUGGUCAUUUUAUUCAAGCUGAAGGCAAGGGUGAUGUGCUGAUAUGCACCCUUACAGGUACCAAAGUGAUUUCAAAUGUGCUGUUGGUGCCUGAAAUUGACAGAAACCUGCUCAGCAUAGCUCAGUUGCUGGAAAAAGGUUAUUCAGUUGUGUUUAAAGACCACCAGUGCCAAGUCAGUGAUCCAAGUGGAUCCAAACUGAUGGCAGUCCCCAUGGCUGAUAAGAGCUUUGUGGUUGACUGGACAAAGAAGUCAGACAUUGCCUACACAGCCACUUCAGAUGAAUCCAAGCUGUGGCAUCAAAGACUGGGACAUGCCAACUUCAUAUCGAUGGCCCGAAUGAUCAAAGAAGACUUGGCUGAAAACUUCAUCAACUCAGUGGACCAUGAUGAUGUAUGUGAAGUAUGUCAGCUAGGAAAGCAGGCCAGACUCCCAUUUCCCUCGAAUCAAGCUUGGAGAGCCUCUGAAAAACUCCAACUGGUGCAUACUGAUGUGUGUGGCCCUAUGAAGACUGAGUCAUUAAGUGGAAACAGGUAUUUCACACUGUUCAUUGAUGAUUUCUCGAGAUAUUGCUGGAUUUACUUCUUAAAACAGAAAUCAGAGGUGGCCACUGUGUUUUGGAAGUUCAAAACUGCUGCUGAGACUGAAACAGGCUGCAAGGUGAAGACCAUAAGGUCUGAUAAUGGGACUGAGUACACCUCAGCUCAGUUCCAAGGCUUCUGUGAUAAGGCAGGCAUCAAACAUCAACUUACCAACACAUAUACACCUCAGCAGAAUGGGGUAAGUGAAAGGAAGAAUAGGAGUUUGAUGGAUAUGGCCAGGUGCUUGAUGAUUCAGAAGAAUCUGCCUAAAGCACUAUGGGCAGAAGCAGUUAACACUGCAACAUACAUUCAGAAUAGACUUCCAACCAAGGCUUUGGAUCAAAAGACCCCAUUCGAGGCCUGGUUUAGCUUCAAGUCAUCACUGGCUCAUCUGAAGGUCUUUGGAUGCAUCUGUUAUGCACAUGUACCUGUUGUUAAAAAGGACAAAUUGUCUGAAAGGGCUCGACCUAGUGUUUUGGUGGGCUAUAGCACUGUUAAGAAGGGCUAUAGGAUUUUAGAUCCUUCAACAAACAAAGUGUCAGUAAGCAAGGACGUGGUAUUUGAUGAGAGGUCAUGUUGGAACUGGGAAAGACAUGAACCUGAAGAAGUUUCUAAAGAACUUGCAGCAGACCAAGCUGAGCCAGACCAAAAUGUCCCUGAAAUGGAUAUUGAUGAUGAACCAGUCAGAGGAACAAGGCCAUUGGCUGAGAUUUAUGAAAGGGCUCAUGUAGCCAUAGCUGAACCAAGCAACUUUGAAGAGGCUGAGGCUCAGCAAGGGUGGAAGCAGGCAAUGGCUGAGGAGAUCAGCAUGAUUGAGAAGAACCAGACCUGGGAAUUGGUUGAAAGGCUAGUCAAAAGGAAGGUGAUUGGGGUGAAAUGGGUGUACAAAGCCAAGCAGAAUGCUGAUGGUACCUUGAACAAGCUGAAAGCAAGGCUAGUUGUCAAGGGGUUCAGUCAGAGGUAUGGCUUGGACUACCUGGAGACCUUUGCACCAGUGGCCAGGCUCGACACCAUCAGACUGUUGAUUGCCUUAGCAGCACAGCUCGAAUGGAAGAUCCAUCAACUUGAUUGAAAUCAGCCUUUCUGAAUGGUUUCUUAGAUGAAGACAUCUAUGUUGAACAACCACAAGGGUUUGAAAUAGCUGGCAGAGAGCAUAUGGUCUACAAACUGAAGAAAGCCCUAUAUGGAUUAAAACAGGCUCCAAGGGCUUGGUAUAGCAGAAUCGAUGGCUACUUGACUGAUCUGGGAUUCGAUCGAAGCAAGAGUGAGCCAACACUGUAUGUCAAGAAACAAGGGACACAAAUACAACUCAUUGUGUCCCUGUAUGUUGAUGACCUUCUGGUGACAGGAGGAGAUCGAGUAGUGCUGGCUGAUUUCAAGACCAAGAUGCAGGAAGUGUUUGAAAUGUCUGAUCUUGGGGAGAUGUCCUAUUUUCUUGGAAUGGAGGUGUCUCAAGUACAGAAUGAGAUAUUUCUAAGCCAGAGAAGCUUUGCCACAAAGAUUCUGACCAAGUUCUCCAUGCAAAACAGCAAGGCAACUAAAACACCUGUAGCUGUUGGAGAAAAACUAUCGAGCCAAGGUGAUUUUGAGAAAGUAUGUGAAACAACCUACAGGAGUCUAGUUGGUUGCAUGCUAUACUUGACUGCCACUAGACCAGACAUCAUGUAUGCUGUAGGAUUGCUCUCAAGGUUCUUGCAUUGCUGCAAUGAGAAGCAUUUCCAAGCUGCAAAGAGAGUGCUGAGAUAUGUCAAAGGCACUUUAAACUAUGGUUUGAAGUAUAGCAAAGAAGGAAAUCUGAAGCUGGUUGGCUACACUGAUAGUGACUGUGCUGGCUCGAUAGAUGACAUGAAAAGCACCUCAGGGUAUGCUUUUAACCUUGGUUCAGCCAUGUUUUGCUGGAGCUCAAAGAAGCAAAGUCUAGUAGCUCAAUCUACUGCUGAAGCAGAGUAUGUGGCAACAGCAAGUGCUGUCAACCAAGCCAUAUGGCUAAGGAAAAUAUUGGCUGACUUGAAUGUGCAUCAAGAGGAAGCUACUGAGAUCUUCUGUGACAACCAAUCUGCAGUAGCAAUUGCUAAAAAUCCAGUGUUCUAUGGAAGAACAAAACAUUUCAACAUCAAGUUGCAUGUUGUUCGAGAAAUGGAGCAAGCUCAGGAAGUAAAGCUGAUCCACUGUAAUUCAGAGGAUCAACUUGCAGACAUUUUAACCAAAGCCCUUAGUGUCACAAGGUUCGAAUGUCUAAGAAAGAAGCUAGGUGUUUGCUCCAUGCAAACCAAGGAGGAGUGAUGAAGUUGGUUCAGCAUGCAGCAAACUCGACAGCAUGCAGGCCAUGAAGACCAAGACAUGCAGGAGUUGCUAAUGCAAGCUUAUUUUGUUUAUUUUGUAAUUCCUAGUCAAUGAAAUGUAAUCUUAGUUCAUUUCUAACUAAGUUAGGUUGUUGACUGAUGUAAUUAGCUUAUGUAUGAGCUGUAAACACAACUUUGUAUAAGUUUACAAGCCAAAAUUUCAAGUUUCCAUGUCAUUAGUGGAGGUAGGUGAUGUUUAGGUAAUUACUUACUGUUUUUGACAAGCUUAGUGCCUGGUUUAUGUAUUGGCAUUGUGCCAUUAUGCAAUUUAUGAAUGAAGUUCAGUUUGUUCAUCAAUUUUUCUUUUCAUUUUCUCUUAGCUUUUCUUCCUUUCUCUUGCUCGAAUUCUCUUGUUUGCUCAGCAAGUCUCGAGACUUGCUCGACAAGUCUGUACUGAAUCUGUUAGUUUCAGUUACAGCACCAACAGUUUGACUGGAAGUUACCUGUGGGCGAAAUUGCUGAGAACUUGGACAUGACUGAACUCUAUGGCCAAACAGUCAAUAGGAAAAACCCUCUUCAUGUUGUACCUAUAUCUCAUUUCAGUUUUUAGAUAUUAUAUAUUGGCUAUGGUUUGAGUCUUUCAGCUCUUUCUUUUAUUUGGAGAAGACAAUGUUACUAUCUUUGGUUCUUGUUGUAGUAAUUCAACGAAUCCUUAUCGUGCAAGUGAUCAAUAUAAUAAUUCAAGUAACAUUUUACAAAUUUGUUCCAUGUGAA